AACAGUGAGGUACAAAACAGAUUGCUUGAAAUACUGGUUAGCAAGGUCUGCGACGAUAGGUCAUUCGAUCUUUCCUGGCAAUUGCUACCAAGGAAUAAUCUGUUGCCAAUAGUACAAGCCGAGCUAGUUCCGACUCGGCUCAAGCCAAUUGACUUAGAAAAAAAAUGAGGAUCGAGUAGCAGGACAGAUGGACUCGACCAGAAAGUGAAAGUAACGUCCGUCGAUAUAAACAAGGUCCAGCGGAUGAUUGCUUUGGCCAUGAAAAAGGGGCCGAAGUUCCCUAAAUUUAUCCAUCCAUAUCCAGCCUACGUGGAAAGGUUCGAAUAUUAUAAAGGUUUCAAAAUUCCAGAUUUUAGUAUUUUCGCUGGAGAAUCGUCUUUAUCCUCGUUAGAACAUGUGGCUCGUUUCACCGCGCAAUGCGAAGAUGUCAACAAUGAUUUUCACGAGCUGGGGCUGUUCAAAUUUUCAUUGACCGGUUCAGCAUUUUCCUGGUAUAUCAACCUUCCACCUAAUUCCAUCCAAAGCUGGGAGGAAUUGGUCGAGAGAUUUCACGAGCAAUUUUAUCGGCCAGGGAUAGAAAUGUUAGUUUCUUCGUUGGUAAGGAUGACUCAAGCAUCUGAUGAGUCACCAAUGGAUUAUCUUACCAGAUUCAAAUCGGCCAGGAAUUGGUGCCGAGUACCUCUCCCUGAAGUCGAUUUUGUUAGACUUGCUUUGAACGGACUCGACGUAGAAUAUAAAAAGAAAUUUUUGGAGGCAAACUUUCGGGAUAUGUAUGAAUUAGCCCAGCAUGUCGAGCAAUAUGACUAUUUGCUCUGAAAAGAGAAGAUGUUGAAAUCCCCAUCUCGAAAGACGAUUUACAAAAACCUUACGGUUAAUUACGCGUCAACCGAAGGUGAGGAAUCUCAAUACGUCAGCAUGGACGCGGCUGAGAUAGUAAUAGAUAAACCAUACGUGUGCAAGGCAUUGACUCAAAUUAAUUCCAAGGAGGUCAAAACCCACUCGGCCACUGAAGAAAUAGCAAAAACAUCAAAAGUUUAUACCUUUGAUAUCACAAAGGCCGAAGCAAUUUUUGAUCAAUUGCUAUUAUCGAAAAUCAUUAAACUUCGGCCAGGGCAUAAUAUUCCCAAGGCUGAAGACCUUAAAGGAAGGACAUAUUGUAAAUACCAUAACUCGACAAAGCAUGCAACAAAUAAUUGUGUCAUAUUUCGUGAUGAUAUCUAGAGCUGGAUUGAUAAAGGCAAGUUAAAGUUUCCUAAAAAAUGCAUGACAGUGGAUACGGAUCCAUUCCCUUCAGUGACAGUCGGCAUGGUACCAUUUGCCCAAGAGCAAAGGAAAAAAGAAGGUCGAAUUUGCCCCAGUACAACACAUCCGAAAGCAAAGCUCCCAGCGUUGACUCAAGAUCGACCUAUUUUCCAAUGCGCCACCUACCGAGCUCUCAGGACCAGCCAUAGUUGAACCAAUGUCAAACUACAAUGAUGAAGGAAAUGGCGGGCCAAUAGUACCACAUAUCCUAAAGAAAUGUUCCCAACCUCGACUCAAGAUUGACUUGUUUUCUAAUGCACCACCCGCCGAACUCUCAGGACCUGCCAUAGUCGAGUCCAUGUCAAACUCCAGCGAAGAUGGAAAUGACAGGCCGAUAGUUCUGUGGAGCAAUUGUAAGGCACACGUGGUAUUAACUGAGUCCAAGAGGAAACUGCCUCCGAUACAGAUGCCGACAUCACAACACCAAUUAGAAAUUACAACGAAACCUUCAAAGGAACCUAGUGAAGGCCAGCGCCAGAAAGUAUUUGACAGGCUCGGCCCAAGGAAACAGACAGAUGGUCCUACAUCGGUUAGACAUCACCUUGAUUUCGACGCACCGUUUUACAAUAAGGAUUAUUAUUCCCGUAAUUCCAGUAGUUCGAGCUCAUCCGCAAAUCCAAAAACCUUCAGGCCACCUGAACCACUUGACCAACGUUGGUACAGCUACAAUUCUCCUACCGGCAUGUAUACCGCGCUCUCCAAAUCUCAAAAACAUCGACAUCAACAUAUAGAUUGCUUGGCUCGACGGUAAGCGGCCCAGCCUGUUUCGGCCACUAAAUGGUAGCCGAAAGAGACGGCAGGAAGCGGAGAUGAUCGGCCAACCCCAACAAUCAUGGCUGAAUUAUAAGGGCAAAAGGAAACCAAUCGGGACUUCGAAACUACCAUUGAAGUAGCUGAAAAGCGCAUCAAACUUCUUCUUCGGCCCGGGGAAAUGAAAGCUCGUUUUGAGCAAUUUAAGAAAGAGGCCGAAAGCUAACUGCCCCCAUUACCUUUGAAAGAACCACUAAUCAGAGUUCGGAGGAAUCUGCACCCCCCAUUCCUCGGCGAAUCAUUAGAAUAUAUGAAAGAAUUUCACAAGAAAUAUUCCGCCAACGACUUGUAUGGGUUGCCCAAGGCCUGCCAAGAAGCUCUUGACCUGGCAUUAACUUGCCCCGAUACUGAGCAGAUCAUCCAAAAAACCACUGAUCCAGUAAUAAAAGCUAGAUUCCAGCACAUUCGAGAGGCUAGGGUUUUUGACUUCGAGGUCGACCUAUACACGGAUAUUAACACAGCCGAACUCCCUUUUUCUCUUGAAUACCUUCAACACCUUCGAUAUCACUUCAAAGUGUUUUCGACUGUCUCCUUGUUUGGAUUAACGACUGAUGAGAUAGAGCGGGUGGCACGUCUGGACGUUUACCUGGACACCAGGAAUGCCCGGAUCUCCUAUGAGGAACGAGCUCGCAAAAUACGACAGGAGCAGAGUCUGACACCAGAUGCAUGCAAGCCCGAGGACGACAGUCAAUAGGAUACAGCGUCGGAUUGUGUGGCAUAAGCGCCUGAAUAUGUUGAGACACACAGCGAGCCAACCGCGAAUGCUCCAACACACGAUGAUACAGUCCUCACCAUUCCAGAAGCUGACGACCAGGAUCCAAUGGGCCAUUCAGUCCUUGAAAAUAUGGAAAUCAGCAUGGUUCAUGUUCUUCCUGCCGAAUUUCAGCUGACUACACACCAACCAAGUUCCUUGGACUGUGAUGUGGUCACCGAGGAGGAAACACAAGUUGAUUUCGUCAUUCCUACUGAAGACGAGUCAACUAACGGCGACGAUAAACUUAAAACAACCUUGGACAUCUUGUUUCCCCGUUCUUCCUCGACUAAUCUUCAACAUUUAAAAUCGUUGUAUGUCACGGCCCAUAUUGAAGGCUAACCAAUCCCCAAGAUUUUCGUCGAUUGCAGAGCAACAGUCAAUAUCAUGCAUGUAUCCGUCAUGAAAGCAUUACAACGAUCCACCGACGAACUCAUUCCUUCAGGAAUAACCAUGAGUAGCUUUGUCGGUGACAAGUCCAAACCAAAUGAGUACUCCCUCUAAAGGUAAACAUCGCAGGUCAUAAUCACAUGAUCGUAUUUUUUUAUCGUCGACUCCAAAACCGAAUAUAAUGCUUUGCUCGGUAGGGAUUGGAUUCAUCAAACGAAUUGCAUUCCUUCUUCUUUAUACCAAGUCCUGAUUUUUUGGGAUGGUAAAUCGGUCGUGGUCCACCCAGCUGAUACUCAGCCGUUUGAAACCAACAUGAUUCAAGCCCACUAUUAUGAUGAUCACGUCGGCUAUAUUACCCUACAAGGUUUUAAUGAAGAUGGACGGCCGACUCGGAUCUCAGUCCAGAAAGCCAUUAAGGUAGGCGCCGAGACUGUCCACCAGGAUUCGGCAAAACUCGGUUUGGCCAAUUUACUCCCCACCACUGAUGAUUGACAUCAAAAGCGAGAGGUGUUGGGCUGCGGUUUCAUCCACGAUGGAACGCCUGCUGGCCCAUUGGUAUGCUAUUUCCAAACACCCGCAUUCCGGCAUCAACUUAAUCCAAUUUUUGGUCAAAGAGGAUAACGGCCCGGUACUAUCGUUGGAUAAAGUUCAGGCCGCUAAGUUAAGGAUCCUCUAGAGGAAAACGAGCUCGACGACAGCCGACCCUAAGUUAAGGAUCCUUUAGAGGAAAUAAAUGUUGGAACGGCCGAUGAUCCUCGGUCGCUAUUUAUUAAUGCGUUAUUACCCCAUGCCAUGAAAGUGGAACUCUAUCAAUUGCUUCACGAGUUUAAAGAUUGUUUUGCUUGGAGUUAUCAUGAGAUGCCGGGUCUCGACCGGACCCUUGUCGAACAUGAAUUACGUAUCAAACCUAGUUGCAAGCCUGUUCGACAACCUCCUCGUCGAUUCUUGACUGAAGUACAGCUCGGCAUAAAAAAUGAAAUUAUUCGACUGUUAAAUGCUAGGUUUAUCCGAACCGUUCGAUACGUAGAGUGGUUGGCGAAUAUCGUACCAGUGCUCAAGAAAAAUUGGGCCCUACGCAUUUGCAUUGAUUUUUUUCGAAAUUUGAAUCUGGCAAUACCUAAGGAUGCAUAUCCCAUGCCAAUUUCAGAUUUGCUAAUCGAUGUCGCGGCUAAUCAUGACAUGCUGUCAUUCAUGGAUGGACAUGCUGGUUAUAACUAGAUAUUUAUUGUUGAAGCCGAUGUUCAUAAAAUUACUUUCCGCUGCCCGGAAUCACUUGGAACCUACGAGUGGGUAGUCCUGCCAUUCGGUCUAAAAAAAUGCUGGUGCUGCAUAUCAACGCGCGAUGAAUACCAUUUUUCAUGACCUGAUCGGCACUACCAUAGAAGUGUAUAUUGAUGACGUUGUGGUCAAAUCAAAAAGUCACCGAACGCAUAUUGAUGAUCUUCAGUAAGCUUUCCUUCGCAUGCAACGACAUAACCUUAAGAUGUACCCAGCCAAAUGCGCAUUUGGCGUGUCGGCCGGUAAUUUCUUAGGUUUUCUUGUCCACCAUCGCGGCAUCGAGGUCAACGCGAACAAAGCCCGUGCAAUUAUUUACGCCCCACCACCGACGACCAAAAAACAACUCUAGUCCUUGCUUGGGAAAAUAAAUUUUCUUUGCCGAUUCAUAGCUAAUUCUGCUGGCAAAAUGACGGCAUUCUCUACACUAUUGAAACUUAAGGACUCAGAUAAGUUUGAUUGGCGUGAAGAACAUCGAGCGGCUUUCACACAAAUCAAGGUUGCCCUUGCAACUCCACCCGUCCUCGUACGGCCUCGACGUGAUAAACCCCUUAAGCUUUACAUUUCUGCAGCCGAAGAAUCUAUCGAUUGCCUCAUCACGCAAGAUACUGAUGUUGGGUGAGAACAAGCUAUUUUCUAUCUCAGCCGACACCUCCAUCCUCCAAAGAUCAAUUAUUCACCAGUUGAGAAGCUUUGCUUGGCUUUGUUCUUCGCCACAUCAAAACUCUGGCAUUAUCAAAGUUUAGUUUGCAGUACGUCAUGUUGGUACCACACAUAUUGGGCCUCAGAUUUUGAUACAUUGGGCCUCAUUACCCACCCCAUAUGAUUAUGUAAAAGGAGAAGCCCCUUAUUCUAUAAAAGGGGACUCUUCCCUCCUUACAAAUCGGACUCGGGGAACCUAACAGAGGGCAAUACCCUCACAAACACAACAACACUCUCUUUCUCUGGAGGACUCCCCCUCACCCUUGUAAUCCAUACAUACAGUCAGAGAAAUACAAUAUCAGUGUGGACGUAUCCCAAACAUUAGGGUGAACCACAAUACAUCUUGUGUUAUUCACUUUCUUGCAGAUUCACGGUCUGAUUUACAUUGUUCCAAAACCCUCCGAUUUUGUGCAUCAACAGGUCCCACAAAAAACCGUCAAAUGACAAGCGCUUGCUGAUUUCUUAGCCCACCACCCUUCUCCAUAUGGGUUCGGGGGCACCGAUGUUGAAAUCGGCAUGGUGGAAGCACGUGACAAUUAUUAGACGGUGUAUUUCGAUGGUUCCAGCACGUCAACAUCGACCGGUGUAGGGAUUGUACUCCAGUCACCACACCAAUACCGUUGGUUCUUUUCGCUCAAGUUGGAUUUCGAUUGUACCAAUAAUCAGGCUGAGUACCAAGCCCUUGUUAUCGGCCUUAGCGUACUUCAUAAUUUGCAUGCUGCUCGCGUCCUCGUCUUCGGUGAUUUGGAGCUUGUGAUUAACCAACUUAAUGGAACUUUUUGAUGGAUGAGUUGUACUCUGGUGCCCUAUCACAUGGUGGCCAGUUACUUGGCCAAGUCAUUCAAUCAUAUUUCCCGUGGACGGAACACCGUCGCAGACGAACUCGCUUAGAUAGCUCUGGAGCACAACUCAUGGGGGGCAAGAGUGGACCAAUGAUACCCAUUUUACGGUAAUAUUGUCCGGCUGUGGUUAAUCAACAAGUCCUUCAGCGAGACCAAGUCAUCCAUACACGGGUAAUGUCCUUACCUUCGUUGUUGGAACGGAAGGAUCCUGUAGAUGUUUACACGGUCGAGACGUUACCAAACGACUGAAGAAGGCCAAUUAUGCAAUACCUUGAUAAUCCCAGAGGUAAACACGACAGAAAGACAAAGGUCCAUGCCACAAACUAUGUCUCAUACCAGAAUGAGUUGUAUCGAAAAGGCGAUGACGGUUUAUUACUGUUAUGCCUCGGCCCGCAAGAAGCUGCCCAAGCAAUCACAGAAGUACAUGAAGGAAUUUGUGGAGCCCAUCAAUCAGGACGCAAGAUGCUUUGGUUACUUUGCCGGCACGAUUACUUUUGGCCAAGCAUAUUGAAAGAUUGUAUCGAGUAUGCACAAAGAUGCGUCCAGUGUCAAAUUCAUGGACCCAUCCAAAGGGCCUCGACCGAAUUACUUCAUUCGGUUACCAAACCUUGGCCGUUCAAAGGAUGGGCAAUAGACGUGAUUGGCAAAAUCAUACCAUCCUCUGAAGUAGCAAAACAUGCAUGGAUACUCGUGGCAAAGGAUUAUUUCACUAAGUGGGUCGAAGCAAAAUCAUACGCCGAAUUAACAUCCAAGGAGGUUUGCGAUUUUGUGGAGGAACAUAUUGUGACAAGGUUCGGCGUACCAGAAAUGAUCAUAACUGAUAAUGGCACAGUCUUCACAGCCGAAAGGUUCAAAGAGUAUACGGCGAGCUUAAAAAUUCAGGUUGAGCAAUCCACACCAUACUAUCCACAAGCGAAUGGACAAGCCAAAACAAGUAAUAAGGUUUUGAUCAGAAUUCUUGAAAAAAUGAUAAAAGAAAGACUUGGCAUGUGGCAUUUAAAAUUGAAUGAAGCCUUAUUGGCAUACCAGACUUCACCCCGGUCGGCAACGGGAACCACCCCAUAUGCGUUAACCUAUGGACAUGACGCAAUGUUACCAGUCGAGCUAAGUGUAAAUUCUUUAUGCAUGAUCGAGCAGAGUAGUUUGUCCAACGCCGAAUACAACCAGGCCAUGUUACAAGAGUUAGAAGAUUUGGAAGAAGAUCGGCUUGACGCUUACAAUCUUCUAGUGGCACAAAAGAAAAUUGCUGAGUGAGCUUAUAAUCAAAGAGUCAAACAAAAAACAUUCAACGAAGGAGAGUUAGUUUAGCAAACUGUGUUACCCGUGGGAAUUAAAGACCCCAGGUUCGGCAAAUGGUCGUCGAAUUGGGAAGGACCGUUUGUCGUCCAUAAAGUUCUCGGUAAGGGGGCAUACCAUCUUAGAGAUCGAACCAGUAUUAUUCACAAAUUACCAAUUAAUGGAAAGUUCUUAAAAAAAUACUACCCAGUCACAUGGGAGAUGCAAGAGUAAAGCUUGUUUCAUUUCAUUAAUAAGAUGGUUUACAAUCAAAAUAUUCUAAGGCGAUGAAGGAAGAAAAGUUCCAAGAAGGGCCUUCAGCUCCAGCCACCGCACCUCGCCCAUUAUGACCUCGGCCUGCCGAUUCUUCUUGUCCAUCUUCAAAUGCUCAACUCGCUUCGUGCUCGCCGCAUACUCGGUUAAACAAUCUUUGCAGCCAGACUCGAAGUCCUUCGCAAGCUUAGAAGCAAUAGCCGACCUUCGUUUUGCCAACUCAGCCAUUUGACGGUUGAGGUCGGCCAAGGCUUCCCCUUUCUCCUUUAAAGCAUCGAUCUUCGAACGAAAAGUGUCUUAAACGGCCAUGGCAGCUUUCAGAUCUUGUUCAGCCCAAAGAGCGUUCUCGAAUACACUGAAGGAUUCCUGAACUCGCUCCAAGGUGGACGAUGCCUGAACGAUAGCCUCGACGCUCAUUUGACCAUCUGCUCCAAAGACGUUUAGGCAUGCACCCAACAAAUCAAAACCUUUGCGCUCAAGGACUUGUGGUGCCGAGAGAGACAAAACUUCUUGCAGCCGAACUAGAACAGCUGAAUCUGUAGGUUCAGUUGUAGUAACCGAGGGGCCAGCCGCUCCAGAAGUGCUUGACAAGAGAGCUUUAAACUCAACUUCCCAUGAAGGCUGCACAAAAAAAAAUCAGUUUAAGCACAAGGAAAUCACGAAAGAAUAUAGCAAGAAGGUUUUUGUUUUAAACCUGCCAGAUGAGACUUCAGCUAUGUCUUCGGGUUUGUUGCUCGAACCUAAAGAACUUAAUGGCUGAGCCCAGUGUUUUAGGCUUUCUUCUCAGUUCACGCAGCCGAUGGAGGUUAUCUACGUUCGAUGGCCACUGCGGCGGCCAAGAAAUAUAGAUAACACCUUUUGGCGCAUAGAAAUUUUGAUGAAAAGAAUGGGUAGGCACCUGACAUUUGGUAUCUUCCUGGUUUAGAGUUCUAAGGCAGAAAAGUAACCAAAGAGAAGUGGUAGGGGUACUUACAAAGGUCGAAGUGGCUUUUUAGGGAGGAAUGCUGAGGUUCUGGUCCUGCGGAUGAACGAGUGUUUACGCCGUCGUUUCUGGCUCUACAGCAGGACGUUUACCACGAUCGGCCACAUAAAGGCUGACUUGGACAACCGCCUCGGGCACAGGGGGAGGUGGAUAGCGUGGUUGAAGGUGACUCGUCAGUGGAAUCUCAUUGCUCCCGUCACUCUCGGCUAAGAGGGCCGCCCCUUCCAAGACAGACGCAUCAGCUGGCCCUGAAGCUGCAGACGCCUCGACCAGUGGAGCAACAACUGGUCCAACGACUUGAGAAACAGGCCGUACAUGGGUUGUUUCUUUGGUCGGUGUUGGCUGUUUCUCUGUCGAAGCUUGGACGACAGGGGUAGAGGGGGAAACAUUAGGAGUCGUCGCUCCUGUAGUUUGACUAGAAAUAACAUGAAUCUCCCGUUCUCCUUUCCUCGCUAGCUUCUUGACCCGUUUUAUGGGUUGAGGGGGUUUUAGGGCCGUCUCGGCAUUUUGACGAGGUAGUUUGCUCAGCAAAGCCUGCGUGGUAGUCUUAGCCCUUUUGGAGAUGGUCGAUUUUUUCCCAGCCACAGCCGCAGCGACCACUUCUGCCUUUUUCAGUGACCGACUACCUGAGAAAGGAAAAGCAAAUUAGUAGAGUUCAAAGUCAAAGGAAGAAGGUAGAAAUAGACCAUUACCUUGAGAUUGAGGGGCAGAAGCCUUAUUGGGUCGACCGCCGAAGAUCUUGUUCAUGACGUCUUCGACUGGAGCACCAAAAAAGUUUUGGGUAUACUCUUCCCACCAAUCACUGAAAGUGUCAAUGCUAAGAGAUUCUGGAACAGUUGGUUAAAGGCGGAAUUUUUGGCACCAUUCUUGAAACUCCUUUUUGGCAUCCUUGCACUCAUUUUCUGAAGAGCCAGAUAGGCGUCAUCGACUCAGCUGGGAGUGAGAAGUAAGAAGAGGCACCGGGCAACCCUGAAGACAACCGAGUUGCCGAGUAGUGAAUUGGGGGUUAUAUACUUCCCUACUUGCUCGGUGUGUGUCACACCCAAGAGAAAGGUUGCUGGUAAGCACAAACGACCUUCAGGAUUGACGAAGUUCAGCAUCAUCAUUUGUACUUCAUGUUGAUGUGGGAAAUUUGAUCGACAAAGGAUAUUCUCGACGAUGGCAAAUCAAGAAUUCAUCGUCGAAAAGGGCAUUAAGGCCAAAGAAGUAUCUGAACACGUAUUCAGCUUGGUGAGAAUGUACUGGUCGAGAAGCCACCUGAAGGCCGAGCGCUUCAGUAGGCGAAAAGCUGGCAAGCUCUGGCCGAAGGGUGAUGAAAUAAACCUGCAGCCAGAGCUGGAAUACCCAAAGGGGGCCACUCUGAUGUGGGUCGAUCUUCUGAAGGGUCAUCUCGGCCAAACAACGCAAGAGAUGAGCAAGAAUAGCUGGAGUAAGCGCCAGGGUGUGACCGCUGGCCAGGGCUUCAGCCACCGGCAUGUUCUCGACCAGGCAUUUGUUGAACUUGGUACAACAAAUAAAUUUGUUAUACCAGUAGAAGAGGAAGGCUUCGUGUUCUCCCCGCCGUAGGUUCUCUUCACCUCAGCCGGCAAAGUGUAGGUAACGAGUGUUGUAGUUGAGGAAGUUCUUAUGAAGUUUCUGAACUUCCUCCUUUGAGGGUUCUUGACCCUCUCCGGUUAGUGUUUCGAUGGCUCGAUCGUUGAAAACUGCCUUUAGGUCGAUGGUCGAUGGGUACCCAGAGAGGGUAACAUCAACCGAGAUGCCAAAAGGGGAAGUCCCUAGGAUCGCGGUAAUGUCAAGGAUAGUAAGACCCAUGAGGCCGAGGGGAAGGAUCAUAGUGUUGGUGGCUGAACACUAGAAGCUUGAGGCUGCCAUAAGAAGCUCCUUGUCCACGAUGAGCUCCAUAGACGAAAGACGAAUGGCAUCAUAAAUGCCAAGAUCUUUCCAUUGCUCACCGAAGAUCUUUUCCAUCCGUGCAACCCAGGCUGCCCAGGUCGCACUGGUCGAGGGCCAAGAGCCUUGGGGUUUUGCUGAAUCCCACAUCGACCAUUCAAACCCUUGCAGUAGAGGUGUUAAACACUGCUCCUUGAAGAGUUCGGUGAUAGCUGGUGGCACUGCAUCCUUAAAAAGUGGACCAAGGAUCUGGUGGGGGAUGCUCAUGUUGCUCUCAAAGCGCAGAGUCUUGAUUGAGCGUUGGUCGAUAAUUGCUCCUCAUUUGUCGCAUUCCUUAGAAAGCUUGGAGAUGAAGGAGGCCAUUGGAAUGGUUUUGAAGGCUUUUUGGAAUAAAGUCAGGGGAUUUGCUUUUAAUCUUUUGAACAAGAGGAAGUUUGGAAAAUUUGAAAACGUAAAGAAUGAAUAAUGGAAAGCCGGGUAUUUAUAGACUCGUGGAAUGGAAGACCAAACGGGGAGAGUGAUCGGGAAGAUCACUAAUAAUUAUGGAGUGAUGGAGAAUAUUAACAGACUCUGAAUAAAGAACCAAAAAAACUCGCAGAUUAAGGGGUCAUGAUGAUAUCGUGACGGCGUCCUUUUAUGAAGAAAAGACAUUUUGGUGUCCGCACGAUCUCGAAGGUAUCGAAAGAUUCACAAAUCAAGAUUGCAUGAUGGCAUGCGGCAACAUGUAUAAUGAUUUGAGGAUGUUUGGACAUCCGCACGUCUUGAGGAAUUCAAAAAAUCUCAUGGAUCAAGGGGGUAAUGAUGAAAGGACACUUCAGGUCAUGCUGAGAAGAGGACAUUUGGCGAGGUGUCUAAUGAAAUCAAGAUCGUGCAAUCGUGCUUCAUAAAUGCACCUCGGGAGACGGAGCCUGGUGUCGCUUCUUCAAGGUCAGGGCUCCGCUAGAGACUUCAGGCCGAAAAAGUCCUAAGAAACAAGGGGGCAAUGUUUGGGCCGAGAUUUAUUCUCGGCCCGGAAGGCCUUACGAAAAGGUUAUCGUGGAUCGUUUAGUUCAUGGGCUUAACCUAGGUCGGUCAAGUCAUGCUGCAAGACGAGUAAUCGAAUCCUGGGGCAAUAAGGAGUCUCGGCAAGAUAUGGAUAUUGAUAACCCGGAAGUGAAUCCGACUUGAUAAAGGACUGGGUUCAAAGUCAUAGUGAAAAUAGGACUGGUCAAGAGGGUGUUUGAUUAGAAGAAGAAAUCCUAAUCCGAGUAGGGUUUAACUCGAUCUAGACAGUACCUGAUGCUAUAAAUAGAGGAGGCUGUACAUCGUUCAACCCUCUUCAAUUCAACAUACAACUGCCCUGCACAAAUUCUCUUAACAACCUUGAGACUUUUUUCCUUUUCUUUUUUCGCUGACACACCUUUAGUUUGGAUAAACAGUAAUGUGAAGGCAACUGGUGGCACUUCAGUCGACAUAGAUAGCACUGUCACCGUAGAACCAGCCGGUCUCGCAGCAUCUUCAGUCGGCAUAGAUAGCACUGCGUCGAGGGUGACUGGUUAUCUAUCCAAGUCUCGGUCGAAAAGGAUUUCCGAAUCCUUAUUGGUCGAGGUCAUCUCAUUAGCAUUCUCGGUGAAGUAAGGUGUUACAUUUUAUUAGGCUCGGCACAUUGCACGUCAAGUUAGUUUAUGAUUGGAUACUCUCAAGUGGGAUUUAGAGUUCGACAUUCCGACGGCCAAACCACGUUUAUUGUUAAGACAUGUAUCAUCUUUGAGUAUUUGUGCCCUUACACUUUGGUGUCGAUUCGGUGUGAGUUUACUCUGACGAAUACCAUCACUUUGACCGAAUCCGACGACGACAAUUUGUGAACUUCGUAAGAAUAGUAGCCUUGUCUUAAGAUUCGAGAACCCAAGAGGCCGAGACGUGUUUCUUCCUCGGUCGCAAUCGUGAGACGCAGAAGUCAUCUGCGCACCCAAUGCAACAUCAACAAAUUUUACUCCUCGGCCGAGUUCGACCGACGAGUUGGCACGACCCGCAUUCAACCGAAGGACGUAGUUAGCUUAUAAGUUACUCGGCUUACGCGCCACGUAGGCUUGGUAGUUUUUAGGGUCAACAGUUUGUUUUCCACUUCCCAAAUUCUUGUAUUUGAAAUAAUUUAUUAGAAUUAACAAUCGUUUUAUUUUCAAAGCAUAAAAAAUAAAAUAAAAAUAUUGUGAAUAAUACUUGCUCUUGCCCUUUUUCAAAAGGGUGGAGUUGCACAAAAGCAAUUACUAUUCAAAGUGAGUAGCAAUGGAAACUUAUAGCCCUUGCCUUUGCCUUGCUCUUGCCGUCCACCAACGGGUGGAGAUGCUCUUAUACAUUUGAGUUUGAAUUCCCUCUUAACAGUUUAUCUAUAUAUAUAAAGUAAGCACCCUAAAAUGGUGAAACAUUCAAAAUACCAUAAAUUGCCCUUUAAGAAUCUCAUAAAUUACAAUUGAACCAAAAGAAGCUAAAGUAUUUAACCAUAUUUUUAUUUUGAAUGAAUUUAAUAUUUAAAAUUAUAGAAAAAUAAACAAAAACAAAACCUCCCACAUUAGUGGGUGGUUUCAUGUCUUUAAUUCAUUUCUUUUUUUAAUAAUUUCUUAAAAAAUAUGUAAAUUAAUUAUUUAAAUAAAAAAUAUAAAAAGGCCAAUUGCCACACACGUAUGCAUGUGGCAAGAGGCUAGUAUUGUUUUAAAGUAAAUUAUCCAUGAGAUAAAGUAAAUAAAUAAUACUUCUGAUUUGUCUCUGAAUUUUCAUAUUUGUACAUGUUUUUCAUUUUGCAUUUUCGUGCUUGUAAUUCACUAGAUUGUAUAUGCUUCAACUAAACUCCAUUCCAUCAAUGACUUGAUUUUUUUCAUCCGUUUGUGUCCGAAGCAAUUCAAAGCAAAUAAAAAGUGCUUUUCUGCGCUUUUUAACUAGAAACACAAAGAUAUAAAAGCUUGUUUGGUACUUUCAUUGUUUUUUUUGGAACUAAUGAAUAAAUUAAACAAUUUAGCUACAUUUAUCCUUAAGAAAAUGAAUUCAAUAAGAGCAUGCCCCAGGUUACUUGAGCAGAUUUUAACAAGUCCAAAGGAAAAAAAACCAUCUCUGAUUGGACAAGAAAACCCUACAUUAUUUUCCAACUUGGAAGCCAUCACAUGGAGGUAGACCUGGCAUUUUCAACCCGACCCAUUAACCCGACCCGACUCAACCCAUUAAAAUCAGUAUUCGGAUGAGUGAUAAACGGGUCGGAUGGUUAACGGGUUAAUCCGUUAAUCACUCGUUAAAUAACGGGUCAUUUUGGAUGAAAUCUGUUUUACAGCGUCAGUCACAAAAAACACUCCUGGGUUCCUCCUCCAGCUGUAUCUACGGCAUUUAGUACGAAGACCAGUCAUUCUCCGUCGGAUUUUUCGAGAAGGAACAGCUGAGCUUAAUGCCAACGGAUAUUUUUGACGGAUUUUUGUUCAGGUGCGACCAGAACAAUCAGGGACUCUUUAGGGGUGCCUCCGGUUUGCUCGAUCUCGACCGGGAUAAAAUCUCCCUCAUCGAGUAAUCUGCCUCGAAAUACAACCGGUUCUUCUCCUACUGCCUCCCCUCCAAAUCCAGUGGCACUAGAUACCUCAGCUUCGGCAAAGGCGACGGAUCUUCCAACGCCGUGAAAUUCACACCCCUCGCCAACGUCUCCCAAGGCGUGAAAUUUACACAGGCCUUCAGCAAUGGCCAGGAGGAUGGUAGGUGGCUCAAGCUCUUCGAACGUGUUGACGAUGAUACCUUUGGAUUUGGGAAGAUAUAAGCAAAAGGAGAGGAAGUCCCAAUAAACAGGGUCGUCUCGAUCGAGCACCGAUUCGAUCAUGUGUAUAGCCUUAAGAGGAGAUUUCCGUCCGGGGAAUUUGAAAAUGAUGUCGGUGAGAUCCUUUGAACUCUGGGUGGUUUGUUCAUGGAUCUUAGGGAAAUACAAAAAAUCAACCAGAAUUGCGGCCCAGAAGAGGUCGAUGAUGAAGGCACGGAUGACGGGUGAAACGAAAAAAAAAAAAAAGUUGUUCACGGGUGAAUGGAUGACCCCGUUAGCUUAACGGUUUGGAUUUGGAUGACCCGUUAACUUAACAGGUUGGGUUUGAAUGACCCGUUAAGUUAACGGGUUGGAUGAAACUCAACCCAAACCCAAUAAACCCGACCCGUUUACAAGUCUACAUGAAGGUAGAUGAAACAGUAAAUUACCCAUUGUCUUUGUAGACAUCCAUUUAUAUUACUAUACAUAAGAAACUUGGUUUAGAUCCAACUGAUUAAUAACGCAAUCGUCGAUUCAAAUUCAUAAGACAUAUCAUUAUGUAUAUCGAAAGUCAUGCCUGAACAAGUUUCGCAAAGAAAAACCUCAAACGCAUUAAAAAAAAAAGCACAUUCAAAUUAAAAUACAACAAAAAAUUGCGAAACUAAAAAAAUGCACGUUCAUCUCUCACGUCUAUACUUUUAAUCCCUCUCUUUCGGUAUCCACCACAUCCCUUCCCCUAAAAUAUAAGAUCUAAAUCAAUAAGUGUAACAAGGGACUUUAUUGUCAUCAUUCAAAGAAAUGCUCUCUCAAUCAAUGACAGGGCCGGCCUCUUACGUACAAGAUCUUAUUUCUUGUACUGGAAAGAAUGGGCUCUAAGAUUGACUCAAAAAAUAAACAAAUUACGACCUUCAUUACGCCAAGGGAGUGAUGGAAAACAAAACCAGAUCUCAGCACAGGCAUUCCUGACAAGCUAUACUGAGUCGAAACUCAUAGAAGCUUACUAGUUCUUCGUUUUGAUGGCCCUCCAGGGAAAAGCUUCAUAAUCCAUCCCAAGACUCUUUCCACUACCUACAUACGAGAAUAUAGAGAAAAAUAAUAUUUCUAUAUCAGCCAAUCAUUUGCACUCUGGGUUUCUUUUUCUUUUCUUCUUUAUAUUGAGCUAUAGGUAACUAUCAGCUUGUAUCAGAAAGACAUUCGUAAUUUCGGCAAUAAAUGUAUUUAGAAGCAAAACAAUCACAGAACUGUUCAGUUCUUUGAGGAAUGAUGUACCUGUGCUUUAAGUAUAAAUAAUAUUUAUAUAAAACAAAACGCAUUACCUCAUCACCUUCAUCUGCAUAUGGAGCAUUGUACGACAUAUCAACAGGAGUGGGUUGUCUGACGAGAGUAUUCUCAUUAGCCAUACUUUGGGCUGUCAAAAGCUCUAAUCUCUGAGUUUGGGCUUCAAGUUUCCGAGACAAUUCAUUGUUCAGCUCCUUCAUUCAUGAAAAGGAAAACAGUCAACAUUGCAAUUAUUAGCUGUGGCCCCUGAAAAUAAUUAUGAGCCAGACACAAACGAAUAUAUAAAAAAAAUUGAAUGACUGCUAACAAUAUGACUUGAAGAUACAUUUUGCACUAGAGUAUGAGCGAGAGGCCCAUAGAUGAUACUAUCAUUCUCAGAACCAAGUACACGUGCGAAGUGCAUAGGCCUCUUUUGCUCACAUUAUUUCAUAUUCCAUUUGUACGUUUAAUGCUUUUUCAACCAUGUAUCAACAACAAGGCCUCAACCCUAAAAUAUAUUACUCGGUCCCAAAGAAAGCCCUUUCUUGCUUAAAGUGGGCUACAUACUAACAAGUCAAAAGUCGUAGCAGACUUCUAUACUGAGUUGAAAAUUAAAAAUAUGCUACCUUCAGCUUGGAACAUUGAGAUGACUCGGAUGCCAAAGAUUGUAUCAAUUCUUCUUUCUCCAAUGCUAACUGAAAUACCAAAGAGAGUAGAAUUCAAUUUAAUGGACUAGAUUUUACAACACAAAUCUGAAGGAAAAGAAAGGAAAUAAGCCUUCAAAAGUGUAUCACUGAGAAAAUACAAGGGGUAGAUAGUUAGGAGAGGAUAUAAGGGGUGCAUGGUACCUCGGAAAUUAGUGUACUGAUGUUUUCAACUGUUUGCAUCUGAUCGGGAGGUAGAUUCACAGAUGAAAUGUCAAAAGUUGACUGUCCAUUUUCAGGCAGCAUUGGGAAACUCGAGGCAUCGCCCCCUUCCUGGCCUAAGGUGUCAGGAAUAGCGUCUUCAUUUUCCUCAACUGGUGAACACAAUACCCAGACGCACAAAGCAUAAUUAUAAAAGAAAAAAGAUUACAAAAAGGAGAAAUAGCUGUCACACUUUAGUCAUUCAUUCAUCAGUACAACUGUACAAGGCUUAUUUGUGAAACAUUAUUCUUUGUUUUUUGUGAGCAUUGAUCAGCAACUUAAAUUCCACAAAAAUAAGUAAUAAACUUGUCAUACAACGACUGCAACCACAACUCCAACUUCUGUAAAUUAAAACAGUUGAUCAGGAAUAUCAAUCAAAACAAUGAGGAGCACUUAGGUUAUCUUUGCCUAUUCCCAGAAUUCUGGGUAUCAUUUUUUCCUUUUGGAAGAUAUUGAUUAAUUAGGAUUACAAUUAAACAGAUUUUGUGUUAAUGAAAUCAGGAUAAAUCAGCAGCAAUCAGUUUAUUUCAACAGUUGUCAAAAGUGCUAAGUUGAUAUAAAAUUAAUAGAUAGAUACCAAAAGUUAUCUACAAACACAACACUAGAAAUAUUCUCAGAAUAUCAUCCAUAUAAUGCAAUCAUAAAAAAUUUGAAGAUGGAGUACUGUUCAACAUAUAAUAACACACUCAAGCACUAAUUUGAAAAACACAUGGACUAAAACCCAAAAAAAAAAAGAAAGAACCAUGGCUACGUACCAAUUAACCGGAUACAUUACGAAACUCAGCCCUUAUCAUUUGGAUAUAGAAAUAUCAAUUUAUAAGCAAAAUAUCCAGAAGAGUUGAAUUUACCUAGAUCUUCUGUAGAAGUAGACACAUCUUUGUUGUUAGUAGUACUCUUGCUGACAUCAACUUUAUUUCCACUUGUGGAGGCUUUCCGUAGCAUAGACUGCAACAGCUUCUUCUCUAUACCAGAUAAUAACACUGAAUAAGGGGUAAGAUAUGCAACCAUAAAUAAUACUAGAUAAGGGUGCAUUCACAUUAGUGGAAAGCUUAAGAAACAACUCAAUAAUUUCACGACGACCUGCCCUUAUUGGCACAAGGACCACUUAGCCACUUCACAGUCAAGAAAGAUGGAAACAACAGCAACAAAGCCUUAUCCCACUAAGUGGGGUUGGCUAUAUGAAUCCCAGAACGCCAUUGCGGUUUUGUGUCAUUUCUUCUGUUAGAUUGAAGUAGUCCAAGUCUUUUCUUAGAGUCUAUUUCCAAGUCUUCCUAAGUCUUCCCCUACCCUUUUGGCCUUGAGCCUCUGUCUCAUAAUCGCACCUUCUAACCGGAGCGUCUGUAGGUCUUCGUUUCACAUGUCCAAACCACCUUAACCGAUUCUCUCUCAUCUUAUCUUCAAUUUCAACUACUCCUAAUUUACCUCAGAUAUCCUCAUUCCUAAUCUUGUCCUUUCUCGUGUGCCCACACAUCCAACGAAGUAUUCUCAAAUGUAGGCCUAACAAGUUUCAAUAUUUAUGGACAUACACAAUACAGUUGUCCCAGCCCCUAUCGAUUAAAUUUAGGGCCUUUGCUACAUGCAACUCCCAAUAUUCAUAGCUUGUAUUCACAUUGCUAAUAUAACUAUAACAAGAAGAACAAAAAAGUUUUAAAACUUAAAAAACACAACGGAAUACAUGAUCACUUCUUUCAAAUGCAUGACUGGGAGUCUGGCUGCAUUUGUGUAUCUCACCAAUAGUUUAUAGGGCUAGUGAUGUGGUGUGGAGUUACUUCACACUCUAAGCAGUUAAAUAACCUUGCUAAAAGAAGUCGCUUAAUUAAGCUCUUAAAAUGGUGACAAUGACACCAGAAAGCAGAAAAUCUAGACCAGGAAAUUAAAAAAGUAAGCAAUUUGUCCCUGGAAAAGCCACUACAAGGUAAAUACUCUACACAGAGGUAUUUUUAUAUAGGCACACUUACCUUCCUGAAGAGCAUUGAUAGUUGACUGCAAAUCUGAACGAUCUUUUUCUAGGCUGGACAUUCUUUUCCUGCACAGAUUCAUAAAUAGUUAUCUUCAGAGACAUGUAGCUACACAGCAUGAUAAUUAUAUGUAAUGGGAGUAAGGGAAGGGGGGCCGGGGGGAGGGGGGGGGGGGAGAGGAGGAGAGGGAGAGAAAAGGUGAGGCAUCCCAUCUAACACCAUAUAAUACCAUACUUAUAAUGUGAUAACAAUAUUUUGCUAGAUAACCAGAAGCACUUUGGUCCAAAAGCACAUUGAUAAGAUCCCACCAUUAGAGGAAGAGACUUUGAAUCAGUUUCAAACUAGUCCUACUUCUUCAGGCACUUGUCAUCUCCACUCCUUGAGCAUGUGAGCAUGUCCUUUCAUAUUAUGAUGGCACAACAUUCUAUUGAAACCCGCAAGCCCAACAAUAAAGGAUGAAAAAGGUGUUCACAACUUAAUCCAUAAUCUCAUAACACAUAAUUCUACAGCUCAUUACUCAGUAGUUUGUUACAUUCAGAGCCACUGUCAAAAUUUCAGAUUUAGUUUCUAUUUUAUUUUAUAUUUCCAAGACAAGUGUAACAUUCUCCAUAUAAGAUGGGGAGUGGUAAAAUAUCAAACAAGUGAUUCAGAAUUUGUGCACAAAUUCUUAAUUUACUGAACAGAACGCUAACGUACUUGUACGACAAGAUUUCAGCCUGUGAGUUCUCCAAUUGCCUCUCCAGCUUUAGCUCACUGGACCUUAGUCUUAAUGCCUACAAAAGUAAACAUAAAAUUUGAAUUCUUUUUUAUUUUAUUUUAAAAAGCACUAUCAACGAUUCGCAAUUUCAGUACCUAACUCAUAUUAAUAUGUGCAUACGCACUCAUAUAUAAUCAUACAAGGAUAAAAUUUUAUGUUUGUCAAAAGUGUGAACAUUAAUAGUUUCAUAGCUCACAAUCAAGGGAAAAAAAAUAUCAUGAGAAUUUCUGCCUAUUAUGUCCCUUUAUUCAGACAGAAAAGCAAAUACAAUUAUAAUAAGAAAGGUUUUCUCCAGAUCAAAAAACUGAAUCAAAAUUUCUUUCUAAACUCAGUACCUAAAAUCCCAACAUACCAAGAAAAAACACUACCUUCUCCUCUAAUCCGAUAACUUCCGAUGCCAAUAGCUUAGCACGUUCAUCAGCGGCAUUACAUUCUAGCUGUGCAUUUGCAUAUUCAUUUCUGACCGCAUCAAGUUCCACCUGUUCACAUCAAGAAAUUAAAACUACUACAACAUAAAUUGAAGACGAGUCAAGUUCCACCUAUAUUAAAUAACUAAUAAAUUAGAAUGGUCCCCAGAGGUACAAGUUUGCUCUGCAAUUAUCAGUAGAAGGGGGAUGAUUGACUCUAACCAGCUGGUGUUUGAUUUCCUCCUGUAUAUUUUCCAAGUCAGAUUUUAGUUGAUCAACAACAGUUCUCUGGAGAAAAAGAAAACAGAACAACAGUUAGAAGAAAGCCGUGGGCCAUGGCACUAUCAAAUGACUUUGUCAGGGAAACACAAGGGGCAUCAUUUCGGAUGAAGUCAGCACAACCGUCUUCAUAAUAGGAUAAAUCAGGCAAAAAGAAAGUAAUACAAAGAUGUUUAGUUCACAAUUCAUCAACAAAGUAAAAGUUACACAAAUGUCAAGGUGCAAUAUCAUGUAAAGCAGAAACACCUGUUGGUUAUAACUCUCUGUCAAAGAAGAAUUUUCAGCAGCCAAUGACUCUGCUAAAGCACGUGAAGCCUCAAGUGCUCGUUGCAAAGAGAACUUUUCUUGUGUCAAAUCUUCAAUAUGCUGCAUAAUGACAAGAAAAAUACAAAAACAUGUCAACAAAAAAGUAUUCCAAAGAAACGAUUUUGCUAAGGUGAUAUCACUAUUCAAAUAAACUUAACAAGGUUAAAUCAAUUUGUUCUUUUUAUUUUGAAGUACUACAACCUGUGAUGAAUGACAAAGCCAUAUGACACUUGCAGUUCACAAUUUAUAACUGACGCAUGGAAAAUAAAACUUACUUAGUAGAUAUACCAAACAAACUUAGCAUCUAGUAAUUUAAUGUCAAACGUUCCACUGACAAAAAAGGGACAUCAUUUUUUGACGUUGAAACAGUUUUUCUUUAUCCAUGGUCAAUGAGUUUAUUUGGUGUAUAGGCCUUGGCCUAGUAUAUGUAUCUUUCUCCACUGUGCUAAAGUUGUUUAUUGUAUUCAAAGUCUCAAAAAAGGAAGUCAAAAUUUGAGAGUAUAGGAUUAUGCGCCAGCUUAGGUAAUGCACUUGAAAAGAAAGGUAUGUCCAUUCUUCAAUAUCAUACAUCCUUUUUGGUCAAUCCCAUACCAUAAAUAUCCUAGUAUCUCGAUGUUUUAUACUUUGCUAUCAUCUACAUAUCUUCACUAUAAGCUUCUAUCUAUUGCCAUCCAGUCACUACUCCCUCAAAAGUCACAACUAUGUCAUCAAUACCCCUUAUUACUCGUGAUGUUCUCUAGUAAUCAACCUAUAUUUUCAUCCAAAAGGAUGCUCAUAAAAACUCAAUGGACUGCUUUUGUCAUGCUAUGCAUCGAAGAGAGGCCAUAACAGCAGACUAUUGAAUUGAUUAAGGAUUCUCCGUGUUAAAAACUUAAAAUGGAUAAAAUAUCUGAAUAUGAGAAAGAAGUGGCACCACUGGACAUAUGUGUAAAAAUCCACCAGCUGAAAAAUAGGGACACACUACACCUGUUCCAAAGCAGAAAAAUCUUCAUUCUGAUUAGGAGAAUAAAAUUCAUGCUUUCUCUCCAUGCUAUUCCCCUCAACUGUUGGCCUCUGCUGGUCCAUCCAAGCAUUAGGAGAAAGUGAAGACUUCAUGGAAGGCUCAGAUGCAUGAGGUGCACCACUUUCAAACUUUAAAAAGGGUCUCACAGUAUCAUCAUCCAUAGAUGGCUUGUGGAAAGGCGAUGAACCUAGAAAAUUCAUGCCACUUGAUUUAGAACUGUUGGACAUAAAUGGCCCUUCUGGUUCAGGUUGUUGAGAAACAGUGCCUGAAGAAGUUUUAGACACAUUAAGAGAAUCAAGGAAGGAUGGACGAGAUCUCCGAGAAUUAGUUUCAGGUGUAACUGAAUACAAUGAUGCAUGAUUGGAGGAACUUCUAGAAUCAGAUCCAAAACCCCCCAUGGAUUCAUAUGUUUGAACUGGUGCACUCUGCCCACUAGAAAUGCUACUGGCAAAGCUGCUAAGCUUUCCUUCCCCAAAUUUAUAACUCAGAGAAUCACUUAAGUCCUCACUACUACCACGGAUGUUUUUACCAACUUCAGAAGCAAAUCCUCUUAUGCUGGGACUGGGUUCAACCAAGUCUGCCAUGACAUCUCAAAACAUAAUACAGUAAGCAUAUUCCUCAAAGACAAGAGUUGGAAAUUAUUCACAAAUACACUGAUUUUAGAUCAGAACACCAAAAACCAAAAUCCAAAAAUGUACAAUUACCUUCAUAAAGUGAAGACGGUGCAGGGCCACCAGACACUAUGCUGACAUUAGAGGCUUCACUCUGUAGUAAUGUGCUGACAGAGUUCUGAGAUGAGAUUUUUGCAACAGAUGGAUGUGAAGAACCAGAAUCCAUUAAAGAUGUAAUAUGUUCUUUGGACUGAAAUUCAUUCCUUCCAUAAGAACUGGAGUGACUUGUAUUGCCCGCAAAAUCUUGAUUUGCUUGUGGGCGUGGAGCAAAAGACUGGUCAGAUGUUGUCCCACCUAAGGCACCAGUAUAUUUUUCAAAAUCAUUACUUAUCCCAUUAGUCCCAUGGCGAUUAUUAACGGCCAGUGGUCCCCCAAACCCUAAAACACCAUAUCUCAGAUAUUCUUGAUCAGCAUGUUUCUGUACUUGAUCUCCAGAAUAUGCAUUAAACUCAGAGGUUGAAGGACUGCUGUGUGUAUUAUUAUCCACGGAAGCUUGUUCAUUUUUUUGCAAAAAAUCAAUCGCGUUGCUAUCAUUGUUCAAUAAUACAGAAGAAGUUUCAGUAAAAGCACUACUGGGCCCAUCAGAUGUACCAGCACCAUCAGAGGCUGUAACUCGUACAUGUUCAGUUUCUAGAGAUUGUUUCUCGUUUGAGCUAACUUCAGAAGCAUCGAUUUGGCUAGUGGAUGAAGCCUUCUUAGCUCGGUCUGCUGCUUUUUCUUCCGAAACUCCUCCAGCUGCAAAAGCAGAGGAAACCAAAUAUGUGUGAAAUUCUACAAUCAAAUAAAAAUAUUUGGUAUGAAAUUUGUCUCUGAAAUGACUAAAUAUUUGUUAAAGUCGAGUUUCUAAACUAAGAAAAAGUGAACUAUAGAGACCCAGAACUAAGAUUUGAUCCGUCUAUCAAGGGACCUAGAAGCUUAGAGAACUUCUUUUUGAAGAAACAAAACAAAACUUUGUCAAAGUACGGCGGAUCAUUGACACUUUAAGUUUAUUGUGCUCUUCUUCUUCCUCUUUCUUUUUCUUACCAUAAGGAGUCUGUAUAUGAAGAAUGCUUAUGAAAUAACCAUGACAGCCUAGCCUUAUAUGCAAAUUCAAAACCUACCUGUUCUACGUCUUUGUUUCUUACGUCACGUAACUAAAAUACUGCUAAAUCAGUUUGUUCCUGCUAGCUCAAAACAAGAUACAAGGGUUCAUCGUAGACACCCAGAAGCAUCAACAUUCAAUAUAUUCCCAAUAUCCCGUUCUGUUUCUAAACAUGUAACCCAAUCAAAACGGAUUCCUAGACCACAAAAAUGUGCGUUUGUAAUCGAAUUUCUAUCAUCAGCAACAAAUUAACUACAUUAUGACAGCUACAAAAUAUGAAUUACGACCGUUCACAAUCAAACUCGACAAGUGGAUUAAGAUUUGACAUGAAAAAUCAAUCAUUUCGCAUUUCGAAUUGCAUAUACAUACACAGACCCAAGCAUGCAUACAAAUGCAAAAUGAAACAUUUCGUGCGAGAUCGAAAUUGUAAUCGAAUAGAAACAUUACCCGGCGCUUUCCGGCUUCCAAAAGAUCUUGCUUUCGCGAGUUGGGCAGUACCUGAGCCGAAGCCAUUCAAUCAAUCCCCCAAAACUCAAACAAUUUCAAACAUAUCAAAUGCCCAAUUGCCACCACCGCCUCCCCCACAAACCCCUAACGAACCAAAACCCUACGUGCCAACAACAAAACCCUAAAAAAUUACAGCGUAUCCGGAUCAGGGAAUCAAGGAAUGAGGCGCAAUUCAACGCAAUUCAAACUGUCGGAUAAUUUCGAAUUGCAAAAUGUAAAAAUCGAAAUAUUGUGGGAGAAAUUGGGAAAGUAAAUAUGAAGCCCUAAUUUUUGUACGGACAGAGUCCGAUCUGAUCGGAGAGAAGGAGAGCUCGAUGAAAUUCUUUGGUUCUGGCAGAUCUCCCCCGCUUUGCUCUCUCUCUCUCUCCUCCCUCCCCCUCUCUCUCUCGCUUUUCUGUGCGUUUUGUUUUUUCAAUUUUUCAAUUUUUCAAUUGUUCAAUUUUCCAAGUUUAUUAUUUAUUUUGGUGUAUUUUGUUGGGGUAGAGUUGAAGAGAUGAUUGUUGUAAUCAAGGUAUUAAAUAUCGAUGAUAUCGGAAAUAUCGGUAAUCCGAAAACACAAAAAUAUCAAUGGAAAUAUUGGGAUAAUAUCGAUAUCGAUAAAAAUAAUAUGGAAACUACGGAAAUUGUAAGAAAAACUUGGAAAUUUUUAUUGAAACUUUGCAGGAUGUUUAUUUAGUCAAUUAUCUAUUAGUUUAUCAUAAAAAAUUGGAAGGAAUGCAUUGCAUGAUGGAUUUAACAUUAUCAAGUUGAUUAUUUAGCGAGCUGGCAAACAUUGUGAGUGUAGAAAAUAUGUAGUAAUUAAUGAAAAAAAUUUAAACACACCAUAAUCAUUUAUAUAUAAUGAAUUAGUACAAUAUUUUACACUUUAUACAUUGCAUGGUAAGAUACAUGAGUGACUUAGUACCACAUAGAGUUCCUAUAAGGUUCAAAUUUUUCACCAUCUUCAUCAUCUCUAUGUGUAGAGUGAGUGUAUUGUGAAGAGUAGUUAUCAAAUGAUAAAUCCCCAAAAUAGUUUUGCAUGUAAUUGUUAACAUGCCACCUAUAUGGAUCCGAGAUUGGUUGACCUUGUCCAUAAGCAAAAUCAUUUGAAGAUUGAGUCUCGGAUUGUUUCCAUAAGUCACUCGAUUUCAUCCCAACAGGAAUGGGAUAUGAAGGGUAGGGAAAUGGUUGGUUAUGAGUAUAACCAUAGUUACUACUUCCCACUCCAACAGAGUCCGAAGUUAUAGAUAACGAGUCAUCUUCUUGACUUGACAAAAUCCCCUUGCCUCUUUCUCUACGAGUACAGUCCUUCCCUAUGGCACCAAUUCCUGGUCCUGCCCGCCUACUGCCAUGGUCCUCAUCCUGUGUUACAUGCGUGAAGUUUGCCUCACCAGUGAAGGGGCUCAUAAAUUCGGGAGAUGGUCUAACAUAGUUUCCAUAUCCACCACCAAUACCUCCAGCUUCACUAUAUCCUUCAUCAUUCCCACCUCCAGUGGUAGGUGAGUCUCCUCCUGAUCUCGUACUAAAGCUAUCAUUAGUAUCAGCACGAUGUUGUGGUUGUGUAGGAUUGGAAGAAGGUGGAAUUCCAGUGUUUCUUGGUCUUGGUCGCAAAAGUUCUUCCAAAGAGUCAGCGCUGCUAGAUCACACCUCCUCCGCUAAUCCUCUUUCUACAUUUAUCCCUUUAUUACGUGUUUCUUCAGCAACUCUGGGAGCUGGGUUGCCUUCAUCAUCAUCUAAAUGAAGAGGUCUAAUCCAUUGAUAAAGUUGGUUACCCUCUGUAUCAUCAUCUUCAGCAACAAUAUCAAAUACAUCUAGUGGGUCACCACGGUCAACAUGAUCUAUUUCUGCUUCCUUAUCUCGAAUUUAAAGCUUCAUGUUGUAGUAGCAAUAAACUAAUUUUUCCAACCGACUAUGAGCCAAUCUAUUUCUUUGCUUUGUGUGUAUGAGUACAAAUGUGCUCCAAUUUCUUUCACAAGCAGAUGAGGAAGCUGUUUGUGAUAAUACUUUGAUUGCUAACUUUCUCACAGUUGAUGCAUCAGUCCCAUACAUGAUCCACCAUUCAGCUACAAUGAAAAACAAUGUUGAUAAGCCUAAUAACUCCAACAAAUUCUUAUCGUGAAAUAUGUUUACACUCACUAGGAGACAUUUUUGUUCGAGCGGCAAUUGAUGUUGGUUCUCCAAAAGUUCUUCUUGCAUCUUUAAACCAUGUUAGCUGAAUUCAAUAAAUCGUGUUAGUUUAAUCCAACAAAGUAAUUAUUAUAAUUUAAGUAAUUAUGUACCUCAUUUCCAAAUUGGCCAACUGUUGGUGAUGCAGGGUUUAAUUUAGAGUAUACAUUAUGUACAGCACGUAUAAAGGUACCAUCAUCUCCAACACCGGGUCUGUAUUGGUAUCGAGGAUUCAAAUAAUAUGUUGUUCAAAGAAACACAUACUCUAAUAAGAGAAAUAAUACUUAUGCAACUAAAGAAAUGAAUUGCAAAUUAUGACAUAAUUUAUACUUGCUGCAUGCAAAUCGUGGUAUAAUGUUUUAUACCAUCGGUCUUCAAUUAUUUUUAUGGCCCACCUUGCACCAUGUUUUCUUUCCAAUUCAUUUUUCACUACACGCAUCAACUCAUUUAUUGCCCCUAUAGUAGGAUACACUUCUGUGUCAACGAUCCGUAAAACUUUGUAAAGAGGUUCAAACACUUGGCACACAUGUUCUGAUUGUGGUUGGCCUAAUUGUCACUAGUGAGUAGGUGCUUCAACCCUGCUUUCUUCUUAAGUAGGCUGUCUAAUGCAAUAUAGUUGGUGGCGAAUCGAGUGGUAGCUGGACGAAUAAUGUCUCCUUUGCAAAAUUCACGCAUCUUUGCCAACAACCAACCGUGAUUGUAAAUAUAAUUUGUGAUCGUUCUAGCUCUUUUUACCACAGUAGCAACAUUCUCUUUCUUCCCCAUUGCCUCAAACAUGAGAUCAAUACAAUGUGCUACACAUGAUGUCCAUAACAUAUUAUGAUGCUUCAUUAACUUUUUUCCAGCUUUGACAAAUGCAGAACCGUUGUCGGUCACGACUUGGACAACAUUAUGUUCUCCCACCUCCAUGAUUACAUCCCUCAAUAAUUUGUAAAUAUACUUGUAGUUCUUUAUAUGGUCUGAAGCAUCAACAGACUUCAAAAAAAUUGUCUUUCCCUUGGAGUAUACCAUGAAGUUUAUGAUAGACAAUCUGGUCGGGCCAGUCCAUCCGUCACACAUGAUUGUGCAACCAUUAGUUUCCCACUUCGACCUUAACUUGUUAACAUACUCGCCAAUGUUUUUAUACUCCAUAUCCAAAUAUUUGUUUCUUAUCUCAUAGGGAGUGGGAGAUUGUACUCCAACAUUGGCCUGUUGACAUCCCACUACCAUAUUUUUGAAAUGAUGUGAUGAUGCUUUCUCAGCAAGGACAUUUUUCAUAGAUAAAGAACUUGCUAAUUAGACGCCCCAUUCCCUCCUUCACAUUACCUCGAGUGAAAUAACUCCAAACACUCUAUUGACGUGCUUUGGAUGACUUAUAUAAACUUGGGACUAUUGGUGGUGUUGGUUGUGAUUCUCUAAGACUGCCUCCCCAUCUCAUUUGUGCACCACUACUUGUCCCGGAACCUUGUACUCUAUUAGGAAUUUUAUGAAGGUGUUCUCUUUCCCAUGCUGACUGUUUUGAGGCACGUAAUGCUUGUUUCAAACUGCGUCGUUCUUCAGGUCCCAUGUCAUCAUCACAUUCGUCCUCAUCGUCAUCAUCAUCAUUGUCAACCGCUUGGCCAUAGACUUCUCCUCGUAGCCCAACUCGAAUAUUUUCCAUUCCAUGAGUUAUCUUUUCCUUCUGCUGUUUUUUAUUUUUUAAUAAUGUGCUGAUGAAUGCCUUCACUUCUGGGGGGACAUUAUCGCAUCGUUGGACAUUUUUUGCUGGAUCUAAUCCACUAAGAUGGUACUUAAGUCGUGUCACUCCACCACUCUUCAUUACCCGACCACAAUAUUUGAAAAUUGUGCCAUAUUUGUUUCCGUCUAUUGGGUCUCCAUGUUCCCAAGCUGGAUCACGUUUAGUAACUUCACUGGACAUCUUAAACGUACCUAUAUUUAUUUUUCAUGAAAAUUAGACAAUUAUUUUUUGGCCAAAAAAUAUAGUAGUGAUGACGGUUAUAUAAGAGAACCUAAAUAAUAAAGUUAUUCUACAAAAGAAUUAAAUAUGAAGUAAAGAAAAUGAUUGUAAAAAUUUAAGUAAUUAUAAAAAUAAUAUGGAAUAAUAAAACCUAAUAUUAAUGAAUAAUAAUCCAAUUUGAUAAAAAAUAAUCCUAAUAUAAAACAUAGUGAUGAAUAAUAAUCCAAUUUGAUAAUAAUCCAAUUUAAUAAUAAUCCAAUUUAAUGAAUAAUCCAAUUUGAUAAUAAUCCAAUUUAAUGAAUAAUAAUCCAAUUUGAUAAUAAAAAAAACCUAAUAUUAAUGAAUAAUAAUCCAAUUUGAUAAUCAAACCUAAUAUUAAUAAAAUAAUAAAUAACAUUAAACAUAUUAAAAUUAUCCUAGGGAAUAAUUAUACAACAUUACUUAAUUGCUUAAAAAAAUUAACAUGUAAUUGUUAACAUUACUUAAUUACUUACAAAAAUUAACAUGCAAGUAUUAAUUACUUAAAAAAAAUUAACAUACGAGUCCACACAAAUUUUUUUGUUGUUGUAUAAAUUACAAUAAUAUAAAUAUAAGUUUGUAACUUACUUUAAAUAUGGAACCUUUGUGUUCAAGCUCUGGAAUGGAUCUGGAAUGGCUUUGAAAGGGGUAAGGGAAGAAGAAGAAACAAAAAUGCUCUGAAUGACUUUGAUACUCCACCUUCGAGAAUGUGAAAGAAUAUCACAGACUCACAGUGGCACACGGUUUUGAAUGUGAAAGAAUAUCACAAACUCACAGUGGCACACGGUUUCAUUAUGAAAACACUAUUAUUUUUGUCCAUGGUCUGUGAUUGUAAAAGUUGUCAGGUGAGUGUGAGUCAGAUGACCCAACCACACACACACCGACACACACACACACCGACACGCCACCACACACGCACACAACACAACACACGCACACAGUCUCUCUCUCUCUAUCAUUCUCUCUUCUUCUCUGAUCUCCCUUCUCCCCCUUCUCCAUUCUCCCACACACACACAGAGAUCUCCCACACACAUGCACAGAGACCCAAGGUCUCUCGAUCCUUCUCCCACACACAUGCACAGAGACCUAAGGUCUCUCGAUCCUUCUCCCACAUCGCCUUUUGCUCCUCCCUCGUCGGUGUCGUCUCUCUCCUUUCUCUCUGCACCGAGGGUCUGAGACCCAUAUACACACACGCACACCAUCGCACCUGCUUCAGGAAGACACCUAUCAUCAUCAGCAACCUCGUCUUUCUCCCUUUCAUUCUCGUCUCUGCAACUCGGCGAACGCAGGAACUCCGGCGAGGUUCUUGAAUUUCUCCGGUUAGGUAAGCUUCGGGUUUGCCUCUUUCUGUUCUAGAUUGAAGCUUAUAUGUGAAAUUUAAGUUCAAAAUCGUGUUUUUGCAAGGUUUUUGGGACGAAAUCGGCUCGGGAAUAGGCACACCCAUCUCCGGCGAUGCCGUGGGUGUCGACGAACUUUCCGAACACCUCCGACCGUUUCACGGCAAACGGACUUUAUAAAAACAUUCAUCUCGUCUUCUAUCUCAUUUUGAUACCUAGAUCGGAGUCUAGGGUGCUCUUUUACAGUCGGCUGGAGCUGUAAAAUCUCCGGCGUUCUUCUCCGAUUAGCACAGUUCCAAAAUAUCGCGAUAUUUUGACGAAAACCCGUUGGAUACCUAUUAAAAUAUUGUUACCGUGAAAAACCGAUAAUAUCGACGAAAUAUCGCCGAUAUUAUCGGCAUUUAAGACCUUGGUUGUAAUGGACGUUUUUCAGCUGUCAUAAUUGGCAACGUCUAUGGGAGUGGUACUACCAAAUCUUGGACAUUAUUUCUACACUAAAACCCCAACCAGCGUGCACUGUUCAUAGACAGUGCGCGGACAAAAUGCCCUCCAAAUAUUUGUCUCAUAAUGGUUUUUAUCGUCUUUUGUACAGUGAAAGGUUAGUUUUGCCCUUUCGAUUCCAUGCGUCCGUCAUCGCUCCAUUUUCUGUUUGAUAUUUUUCCUCAUCUUCUUGACUCUUCUACUUCAUUCCGCUUUUUGUUAUCCAAUCCAAAAAAUCAGAUCGCUCCAAAGCUCUACUUCCAUUACAACUUCUACAUUGUUCCUUUCGUUUUCACUCUCUCUCAAAUCUCUGCUUCUGUCGCUCUCAAACUCCUUCUAACUAUCACAAUUGCUUCACCAGAUCCUCUCAGCAUAAAAUUAGUUUCAUUAUUGUCCUUGAACCCUAAUCUUUCUCUUCUGUCUCUAAAAUCCAUCUGAAAAAGGUAUAAUGGGUAUUGUUUCUAUCUGCAGGUUGUACUCGGAGAAAUAUGUGAAGGGCCAAUAAGAAAAGGUGGAUUGCGUGUCAAAGUGCCAAAAAUACAGGGCCUACCUCUUUAUGCGUUUCCAAUCUUCUAAAAAUCAUGUUCGUGGAGGUGAUCUGACACAGAUUUCAAGCUCGGCUACAGAGAUUUGAUUCACAUGGGGGAUCUAGGUAAGAAAUAAGGAACCCUAAUAUUUUCUUUUGGUUUUAAGAGAACUAUCAUAAAUUCCUUUUGAGGUGUUUGUGAUUCCAAAUGUAAUACUUUUCUUCAACUCAUCCCUUUCCCAUGUAGCAAAUCACAACUCUAAAAUAUUUUAACUAAUUAAUUAAUUAUGAUAAGCUUUUUAGAGAGUACUACUUGGAUUUGAAGUUUGAUGGGCUUGGAUUCUUGGCGUAUUCUCUAUUGUUCACUGCUAACAACUGGCUUCCGUUUGCUAUCUCGGAUUGUGUUUACGACUUAUUGCAAAAUUGAGUUUUCUUGCUUUUGUUGUUGUUUUAAAAUUCAUAACUUACUGCAACUAAAUCUUUUGGUUGGUUUAUGUUUUAGAAUUCAUAAUAUACUACAAAGCUUUAUUAUGUCUAACUUUCUUUGUUUUUUUGCUUUGUAUGCAAUUCGAUUUGACCCACUGUAUGAGCACCCUCUUAGAAAUUUAAUAAUUUAAAUAUUAGUAUUAUUAAUAUUUAAAUAUUAAAUAUUCAAGUGAAUGAAAAUUAAAGUGGAAAGAUGGAUUAGUCUUGAACUGCCUAUAUAUUAGUAGUCAGCAAUCGUUCCCUUUAAUUUUAUUUUGUCUUGAAAGUGGUCACAGUAUGGGCUUGACCAUUUAAUUUGGUUUGAAUUCAAACAAGAAUAUAAUUGCCUUAUAACUGCCUAUUUGGAAAGACACAUCAGUUAAACAAAAGGCACUGACACAUGUGUUGUAUCAGGCACCUCAUUUGUUUGAACCACUUGAAUACCUGAAAGGUUUCCUCCAACCUUUUCACAAGGAUGGGAUAUGAUUGUUGAGCAAAGGUUGCAUCCUUUGUCUUUUGGAAGCAAACGCAACCUUUGAAAAUUAGGCAUGUCAAUGCCUAUAAAUAGACUACCAAGUCAAGCAUUUUAGAUAUAGUUUUGCAUCUAGAAAUCAUUUAGAAAUUAGAGUAGUUUAGCGUCUGAUAAAGAGAGAGUUUUAAACACUUUUGGUUUGCUGUUCUUUAAGGAUUGGAGUGCUACAUCCGCAAAGAGAAAGAUCGUUGUAUCUUGGGAGACAUUUGCUAAUGCAAACCUUGAGGCAUCACUGAGGGGCAAUCUUGUCUUAAGGCUAUAGAAUCAAAUUCUAGCCUCGAUCUCUUAAGGUUUUUCUAUUCUUUGUUCUUCUUGCAUUUGUAGAGAUUUUAUUGUGUAUUAUUUAAUAGUUUAUAAUAAAAUAUAUAGUAGUUUUUCUAAAGCUUUUUCCAACAACUUAAGACAAGACUUUGUUUUGUUAAAUUGUUAUAUUAUAUUAGCGAAGUUUAAUUAAAUAAUCUUGUGGGUUACAGUGUUAAGAAACUAAAGUCUAUUUGAUUCAUAAUACUUUGUUGCUUUUACUUUAAUUAUAAUAUAUUGAAUUGUGUGAUUUUCUCUCUCAAGGGAAAAUGGAUGAUACUAGUAAUUCUUCUAGUAAAUUGGGCAGCACGUCAAUUGCGAGUGUUGUGCCUGUGGUGAUCCCAACUUCCACCAAUCAUGGUGAGAAGCCUGAGAAGUUCAAUGGGACAAACUUCAAGAGGUGGCAACAGAAAAUAUUAUUUUACCUCACCACUCUGAACUUGGCAAAGUUUCUGACUAAAGAUGUGCUUGUGUCUGGAACAACUCCAAAAGACUUGGUUGCAAUACAUGCAUGGAACCAUUCUAAUUUCCUUUGCAAGAAUUACAUUCUCAAUGCAUUAGAUAAUACACUAUACAAUGUGUAUAGUCCAAUUAAAAAUGCAAAAGCGUUAUGAAACUCUCUUGACAAGAAAUAUAAGACUGAAGAUGAUGGCAUGAAGAAAUUAUGUCGCUAAGUGAGACCUUUCAAGUACUUGCAGUAAUUGAAAAAUUACCUCCUACUUGGAAAGAUUUCAAAAACUAUCUCAAGCAUAAACUCAAAGAAAAGGGACUUGAGGAUUUAAUCGUAAGAUUAAGGAUUGAGGAGGAUAAUCGUGGCUAUGAAAAGAAGUCUAACGGCCAACUUAUGCAAGCCAAGGCACACAUUGUGGAGGGUGGGUUAAAAAAUAACAAAAAGAGAAAGCACUCUGGUGAAAGUUCAAGCUAAGGGAAUUCUAAAAUGUUCAAAGGCAAGUGCUUUGUUUGCAACAAGAUAGGACAUCGUGCUAGUGAAUGUCGAAACCGCAAAGGCUAAGACAAUUCCAAAAAGAAAAGUAAUGAAGUACACAUAACCAAGCAAGAGAGGUUGUCCAAUGAGAUUGUUGACAUAAAUCUCGCGGCCGUUGUAUCUGAAGUUAACAUGGUGGGAAACACUAAGGAAUUGUGAGUUGACACUAGGGCACUCGCCGCAUCUGCUCAUAUAGAAAAAUGUUUACCACUUAUCAAGAAGUUACUCAUGGAGAGAAACUGUUCAUGGGGAAUUCUUCUACAUCCAAGGUUCAAGGCCUAGGAAAGGUAAUUCUAAAGAUGACUUUUGGAAAGAAACUCACUCUUAACGAUGUGCUUCAUGUGCCUGACAUUAGAAAGAAUUUAGUCUCCAGACCAUUGUUGAGCAAGAAUGGUUUUCGUUUGGUUUUUGAGUCAUAUAAAUUUGUACUAACAAAGAGUGGAAUGUAUGUUGGGAAAGGAUAUCUCAGCGAUGGUCUUUUCAAAAUGAAUGUAAUGACUGUUGUACCCAAAAUUAUCAAUAAAGUUAAUUCUUCUACUUAUAUUGUGGAAUUGCCAAAUAUAUGGCAUGGGAGGUUGGGACAUGUAAAUUAUGAUACUAUACGUAGGCUAAUUAACAUGGAUCUAUUACGUAAAGUUUCAUAUUGAUUUAAGUCAUAAAUGUGAAACUUGUGUGGAAGCAAAGUCAACUAAAGCACCUUUUCACUAUGUUGAAAGAAAUAUAGAACAUCUAGAAGUAAUUCAAAGUGAUAUUUGUGAUUUAAAGUUUGUGCAAACUAGAGGAGGCAAGAAAUAUUUUAUUACUUUCAUAGACGAUUGCACAAGGUACUGCUAUGUGUAUUUGCUAAGAAGCAAAGAUGAAGCCUUAGAAGUGUUCACAAAUUAUAAGAACAAAGUUGAGAAUCAACUUAGCAAAAAGAUAAAGGUUAUAAGAAGUGAUAGGGGAGGUGAAUAUGUUGCACCAUUUUCUGAAUUUUGUACUUAGCAAGGGAUUAUUCACCAAACUACUGCUCCUUACUCACCCCAACAAAACGGAGUUGCUGAAUGCAAAAAUCAUACAUUGAAAGAAAUGAUGAAUGCUAUGUAGAUAAGUUCUGGGGUGGCCCAAAAUUUGUGAGGAGAAACAUUGCUUUCUGCAAACCACAUUCUCAAUAAAUUACUUCAUAAGAAAGUUAGAUAAGACACCUUAUUAUGGAAAGGCAGAAGGCCUUCUUAUAAAUUUCUCAAAGUUUGGGGGUGUCUAGUUAAGGCAACGGUCCCUGAUCCAAAAAAGGUUAAAAUAGGACCUAAAACCAUUGAUUGUGUUUUCAUUGGUUAUGCCAUAAAUAGUAGUGCAUAUUGGUUUCUUGUACAUAAAUUGGAUAAUCCAUAAGCACAUGUUAAUACUUGAAUCAAGAAAUGCUACAUUUUUUGAAAAUGUACUUCCAUGGAAAAUUGCACAAGAACAAAGUUCUUUGAAAAGAACUUAUGAUGACUUUAAUAGCAGUCAUAAAGAAAGUAAUGAUAAUUAUGUAGACCGAGAACAUGUACAAGAAAUUGAACCAAGAUGUAGUAAGAAGACUAAGAUAUCAACGUUUUUUGGACCUGAUUUUCUGACUCACUUAUUAGAAAAAUGAGUCUCAAAUGUAUAAGCUAUAUCCUCUCCAGAAGCUCCAUUUUGGAAAGAGGCUAUUAAUGCUGAAAUUGAAUCCAUCAUGCAAAAUCAUACAUGGGAAUUGGUGGAUCUUCCUCCUGGAAACAAACCUUUAGGUUAUAAAUGGAUAUUCAAAAGGAAGAUGAAAGCAGAUGGAUCUAUUGACAAGUACAAAGCAAGACUUGUCGCCAAAGGUUAUAAGCAAAGAGAAGGCUUAGACUAUUUUGAUACAUAUUUGCCAGUCACGAGGAUAACAUCCAUCCGUAUGUUGAUUGCUAUUGUUGCAGUUUAUAAUCUUGAGAUUCAUUAAAUGGAUGUCAAGACUGCUUUUCUAAAUGGUGAUUUGGAUGAGGAAAUUUAUAUGGAACAAUUUGAAGGUUUCAUAGUGCAUAGCCAAGAGAGAAAGGUAUGUAAAAUUGUUAAAUCACUUUAUGGUUUAAAGUAAGCACCUAAGCAAUGGCACCAUAAGUCUGAUACUGUAAUGUUGUCAAAUGGAUUUAAAAUAAAUGAGUGUGACAAAUGUGUUUACACUAAAAACACACAAGAGGGAUAUGUCAUUGUGUGUCUAUAUGUCGAUGAUAUGGUAAUUAUUGGGAGUAAUCAUGAGAUUAUUAAAUUUACCAAAAGAAUGUUGGCCAGUAAGUUUGAUAUGAAAGAUAUGGGAGUUGCAGAUGUUAUACUAGGAAUCAAGAUUUCUAGAACGUCUGAAGGACUAAUUUUAUCUGAAUCACAUUAUAUUAAGAAAAUACGUACAAAAUUUAGUAAUUAUGUAAGCAGUCCUGCGAAAACACCAUAUGAUGUCAAUUUGCAUUUAUCAAACAAUAGUGGUCAAUGUAUAUCUCAAAGUGAAUAUGCACGAAUAAUUGGUAGUCUAAUGUACAUUACAAAUUGUACACGUUUGGACAUUGCAUAUUUAGUUAACAGAUUAAGUAGUUAUAUGAGUAAUCCUGGAAAGGAUCACUGGAAGGCAAUUGCAAGGGUUCUUGGUUAUUUAAAACGUAUGCAAAACUAUAUAUUGGACUUCACAAGAUAUCCAGCAGUACUUGAAGGCUAUUGUGAUGCAAACUGGAUAUCUGAUACACAAGACUCGAAGUCCACGAGUGGAUAUGUUUUUAUGCUGGGAGGCGGAGCCAUUUCAUGGAAAUCCUCUAAACAAACGUGUAUAGCUGGAUCCACUAUGGAAUAUGAGUUCAUUGCUUUAGACAAAGCAGGGGAAGAAGUUGAUUGGCUUCGUAAUUUCUUACAAGAUAUUCCUAAUUGGCCAAAGCCAGUGCCCGCCAUAUGUAUACAUUGUAAUAGUCAAUCAGCAAUUAGAAGGGCACAAAAUCAUAUGUAUAAUGGUAAGUCCCCACACAUACGUCGUAGACAUAAUACCAUUGGGCAACUUCUCUCAAGUGGUAUAAUUACCAUUGAUUACAUAAGGUCAAAAGAAAAUAUAGCAGAUCCGUUUAUUAAAGGUUUGACUAGAGAGAAAGUUUAUAAAUCAUCGAGGGGAAUAGAUUUAAAGCCUAUGUUUUAAGAAUCGCCAUAAUGGUAACCCAACCUAGCUAACUAGAGAUCCCAAGAUCUAGGUUCAAGGGGACAACUAAAUUGUGGAUGAUUCAAUGGAAGCACUGCGGAGAUAAUUUCCUACCCAUGCCCUGUGGUGAAACAAUGCUAUCUGCAGCGUAUUUAGGAUAAACUUUGCUUUUAAUGAUUCCUAUACUUGGAAAUAACAAGUGGGGUAUUGUGCAGGAUACUCUUAAUGGGAUAUCACCUACAUGAGUGUGAAAAAUGGCUGUUUCUAUGAGAAUUAUAAGAUUGAAUUCUCUAAAGCACUCAUGAUUACCGGGAAUUUUUCAGGGCCAAAACGAACACAACCGUAGAAUCAUAUAUGUUCAGAGGAAUACCAUGUGAAUCUUAUUGUAUUGGUUUACAUCAAACGGUUAAGCAGUUCAAGACAUCGCAUUCACUGAUUAGCUAGUAAUCCGAUAAUAUUUCACUAAGGAAGGUUCAAAACCAAAAGCUACCUCUCCCCAUAAGGUAUUUGUCCAAUUAAACUCUCUCUAAGUGUGUGCAUCUUCAUUUGCAUUAAAUUUUGGGACAGAAAUAGGAUUUUUUUUAAUAUACAUAGAGCAUGCACACGCCAUGCACAGUUAUUGGACAGAAAUAUGAUUUUUUUACACCUUGAAAUGACCUAAUUACCCUCCCAUAUAAAUGGGAUACCCAAAAACUUGCAACCCUCAUUUUUUAUUUUGUAGAGAGAAACAGAAAGGAGAGAGAGGAAGCCUCUCUCGCCUCCCCUACCGCAUACGACCUAGAACAUGAACAACGGCACAGCUAAAUCCCAUAUUCCAUUUUUCCUUGGUUUCUGCUUCUCACCUCUUUUUUUUCUUCAUAAGGAAACCUCUGUUGCCUCCCUCACCUUCUUGUACUCCGUCGGUAACCUGGAACAUGAACAUCCGCAUAGGUAAAACUCUUCUUCCACUUUCCCUGCUUUUUGCUUCUCAGAAUCUUUACGACUCUUUUUUUCUUCAUCUUCUUUUUAUGUUUGGCUUAAAUUCUACAAAUUGUUGUAUAUUUGUAACGAAAUUUGAUGCUUUGAUCUGUGGAAAUGUGCAUGAGUUUAUUGUGAUUUGUUGUUUGGUUGCACUUUUGAAGAAGUGAUUUUGUUAGAGAAAGUUGAUUUUAGUUGAUAUGUGAAAUUGAAUUCUAGGUCAUUAGAAUUUGGGAAUAAUUUUGGUACCUUUGGUGGAGUUGUGUGAAUUGAAACUUAUUUAUACAGUUUGUUAUGAUUUCCAUUUUCCAAAAUUACAUCUUGGUAUUUGUGGAUAGUUGGGAUGAUUUUGUGCAACUUAUGUAUAGCUUCUUUAAUAUUGAGAUUCACAUUGGAUUAUAAAAAUGUUCAAAACUCUUGAUUUGAGAACGGUUUUGAAGGAUAUACAUAGUUGUACAAAUUUGUUUUUAUAAAUUUUUUUUUUUUAUGCGGUCUCAUGUCAUUUUAGAUGGAUGGUUAUGUUCUUGGAUUCAAUAGAUUAUCAUAUGCUAUCAGAUUUAACGAUGCUUUCAACGUCUUGAGAAAUAUGAGCUAGAAAGGUUCGGUUCCAGUGGCUACUAUUGUAAGCUUCAAAGCUUUUAUUGAUGGCCUUUGUAAGGCUUAUGAGGAAUGACAUUUAUUAGGUUAUGUUGACAAUUUGAAUGUUUUAGCCUUUAUUGAAGGUUCUUAUGAAAGACAAACCGAAGAAACUUGGCACAAUAUGUAUCUAAAUGAAUAUUUUCGUUUAUUUUCUUAUAUCGUUAGUAAAUUCGUUACUCGAUUCUUUUAUGGGGUUUUCCUAUCCAUUUCGAUUUCUUGUCUCUUUUGUCGCUCUUAUGACUAAUUUACUAAUGAGGAAUGUUGUCAGGAUUAGUGAUAUUUCAAAAUUUGUUUUUUUUUGUACGUUUCAAAUUUGCAUAUUGUGAGCAUCUAAUGAGCAUGGUGUGUACAUGUUAUGUGCAUGGCUCGAUCAUGUUCUGCACAUUAAAGGAGGUCAAAAUUGGGUUUCUGCUCAAUUAUUGUAGUGUAGUUUUGACAUAACACGAUUAACGAUGACACAGAAUUCGGAAGAAGUAUCGCAUCCCACUAUGUAAAAGGCCUCAGGGUUGCAGCACUAGAUGCAGCGAUUGAUGAAGGUUGAAACUUUGUUAGAUGUGCCCCAUGAUCCAAGCGGGUGGACGGUCUCAAAGUUUGUAAUAUUGAUGUGUUGGUAGAUGCAAGGGUCUUCGGCUAUUUCCUUGAACUUCUUUAAGACCAUCUUCGCCGAAAAGAGGUCCCUUAACAAGUGGGAAGCAACGAUGAUAAGAAUUUUUAGAAUAACAUCAUCAAAAACAUAUUGCAUAGAGGAAGAGGUGGUGUGGCCUUUCUUCAUCAUUUUCAACUUCUGAUUUUUUUUAAGAGGAUGGAAAUUGAACUUGUGGUUUUGUAAUGAAAUACAAAACCACAAGACAACUUAAUUAAAUAGAUGGAGAAUCAUGUCAUUCAAAUGGUGCAACUUCCCAUCACAAAAAAGGUCGUUCAAAUGGUGCAACUUCCCAUGACAAAAAGUAACUUCUUAUGUACGUAAUAAUUCAAAAACAAAACCACCCAAUACCAUUAUAGAAGUAAAUUAAAGAUAACCGCCCUCCACGCAUGUGCAUUAUAUGCACAAUGCAUGCGCACUGUAUCCACAUACUAUGCACACUGAAUGAUCUCCUAUGGUCUUGAUAUGCACACUGCAUGUUGCGUCUUGAAUACUAAAAACAUAUAAUCUGGAAUUGGAAAAAUUAACAUUUUCCAAAACCCUUUUCGGUCAAAUUAAGUACCUAAACAAAACAUUAAUUAAAACCCACUACUUUUGUAAUAUAUUAUUAUUAAACAUUGGGAAAUUUAUGAGUUGACAUGUGGAAAAAGCACAACUUACACAUAUUGAAUGUAAUGCACACCUCAAGCAGUUAGGACAAGACAUAAGGGUCAUGCAUAUCACAUCUACACCACAUCUACCUUGUCUUGUCAAUUUGAUAACUAGUUUGCCAACCAAUCCAUUUAGAAACAAAGCAUGGAAGAUAAAAGUUUCUAUCCAAUUUGCACUUUCUUGUUUGCGAUUUCACUAAUAUGAGAAUGGUGCAUUUUUGAAGAUAUGAAACCCUAAAAUAAUAGGGUAAGUCUCGUCCCUUUUGGAGCCUAGUCUUGAAGAGAAUCCCAAGGCCAACAUGCUAAUGCCGACUGGGUUUACAGUAAUAUGUGGAAAAAAUUUGAUUUUUGACGUGGUACAAUACUGGGUAUUUUCUAAUUUGUGUUUCAGUUCAAUUGCAAAAAUUUCACAAAAUUUUCCCGAUGUAUGCAUACGACAUGCAUAUGUUGUGCAAGUUGUGUACAUAAGGUGUUUAUGUCUUGCGCAUGGCAUAUUAUGUGCAUAUGAUAUUAUAAGGUGAUAUGCAUAUUAUGUGCAUUUAAUGUUCAUUUUGUGUGCAUGUUAUGUGCAUAUAACAAGGAUACAUAGUACGCAUGUUUAUUAUCAUAAAAUGCUUAGCUAAUACAUUGCACAACAAUAAAAUAUAAUAUAAUCCCAUUAUGGUUGAUGUGGUUCCUUUCCAUUUGCUAGUUGACAAUAAUCCUUAAAGCUCUUGUUGCGUUCCUCCUCUAUUUCGGUUUUUCCCUCCCAAGAACGCUCGUACAACUCAACAUGGCCCUGAUGCUUCUGGAACCAUUCAAAAUUUAGGAAUGUGAUCCUUUCUCCAAACGUUUCAGCCUUCGUUUUCUGCUUGCUUGCACGGUAGAAUGCUUGGUUGGCUUCACCAUUGAGGUCCACAAGCUCUUUUUCUGCCUUAAUUAGCUUGUGGUUCUAAUCUAUACAAGGGUAGCCCGAGUUAUCCACAUAUGGAUAUUCAGAAUGUAAAGUUUAUCCUUUUGCAUUGAAGAGCAUGGUUGGUCCCUAGGGAGACGCAAUUCUUGCGAUAAGUCCCUAAGGGCGCGAUCUUCUUUUGAAAUGCAGGUGUGAUCAGUUGUUGUAAGCAUGCAGUUGAGCCAAGUUGUAAAUUCCUUCUGAAUUCCUCAUUGAAAAACGAGUGAAACGAACGAAAACUUAGUUGUAAAGUAGAAACUGCAUAACAACUAGAUAGUCCUCGACUUGAGAGGUGGUGCCCGUCGAACUGCUUAAGUCUUCGGGCUUUGAUUUAGCAGGAUGUCACGCAUGGUACUUCCUCAGAUUAUAGGCGUUCCAUUGCUUUUCAAUCUCUUUGUCGUUCAUGGUGGCGAGGGUGUAACUACCAUUAUCGCCUACUCUGUCGAUAUUGUACAAACUUUUUCAGAUGGAAUCCAUCUUUUUGGAGCCUUUUCUACGGGUAGUGAUAAAGGCUUUUCUCAGGACUAGAUCUCCAGGCUGGAAUUGCCGGAUCUUGGCACUUUUGUUAUAGCUGGAGAUGAGCUACUGCUGGUAGGCUGCGAUGCGGGUCAUGACCUUCUCGCGUUCCUCCUUUACCAGAUCUAGAUUUGUGGCCAUCUCAUUUCCAUUAUGCUCGAUGCUUGGUAGCAGAUUGUUGAUACUUGGCACGAUGACAUUGGGAAGAACGAUUGCUUCUAAACCUAUUUGGAGCCAAAAUUACACAAUUGGCCCAGGUAAUCGAGGCCUUUGAGUGAGUGAAGUUCUAAUCGUUAGAUGGCUUAGUUAGGAUAAUUUUUAGUUGUUAUUAAGGAAUAAUAUUGUGAUUUUUUUGUCAUGAUAAUAUCCUUUAAUAAUAUAUUAAAUUAGUUAGACUUGGUUUUAUCUAAAAAUCUAGCUGUUUGAUUUGUAUUCCAAGGUGUUACAGAUUUUCUUCCACGCGUGAUGCAUAUGCGUGUGGGUGAAGGACUUUCCAUGCAAUUCGUGUAUGCAUGGAGUGAUCAGCACAAUGACACUUAAAAGGGAUUAGCAUGUUCUGCAUGGAUGAAGUUGGAACUUGACCAAGCAAAGAGUUGGUGAUGAUUAUCAUUGAAAAGUGAUAAUCAUGGUGCCGUCUGAAGGGAGGUAUAAUUUGAAAUGGACAAUGUCUCUCUUGGGGCAUGCAAAAGACAAGAGGUGGUAAAGAAUAAAGUAAUAUUCUUUUGUUUUCCUAUAUGGUCAAAAUAACAAUGUGCAUUGAAUGUUGCCAAUAAUCUAGUCAAAACAAGAUUGCAUCGGGAUAAAUCUUUGAAAGCCAAAUUUGAUGGAAGGUUAGGUUUUCAAGAUGACAACAUGUUUUGAUUGAUGUGAUAGGGUGUGGGGUUAGCAACAGAUAAAGACUUAGAGUCACAGUGUAAUUGGGAUUAGUUUCCACGACUUGAGCAUGCGGGUCUCUAUAAAUACCAAGCGGCAGACGACUAAAAGCUCUCUCCAAUUCAACACACAAAUUGCCUGCGCAAACCCUUGCUCUGCGUGAAACCUCUCAACAACCUUGAGAUUUUUAUUUUCUUUUUCCCGUCGGCACAUCUUCAGUUUGGAUAAACAACACUGUGAAGGCGACCAGCGAACAUCUUCAGUUUGGAUAAACAACACUGCUGCUAUAGAAUCAGCCAACCGCAGAGCAUCUUCAGUUUGGAUAAAUAGCACUGCGUCGAGGCUGACUGGUUAUCUAUCCAAGUCUCGGUCUAGAAGGAUUUUCGAAUCCUUGUUGGCAGAGGUCAUUUCAUCAGCAUUAUCGGCGAAGUAAGGUGUUACAGGUUACUACAUUCGGCACAUUGAAAACCGAAUUUGAUAUUGAACUUUGCAGAACUAGCAGCCUUGUCUUUAGACUCUAAAACCCGAAGGCCAAGACGUGUUCUUUCCUAGGCCGUAGUCAUAAGAUUAAGAAGUCAGCAGCGCGCUCAACACAACAUCAACAAAUUUUACUCCCCGACCGAUCUUGGCUGUUGAGUUAGCACGCCCCGCACACAACUAAAUGACGUAGUUAGCUCAUUAGUUACUCUACCUGUGAUCCACGUAUGCAUUGAAAUUGGUUGACCAUGGAUAUAUUCAUGGCCAGCAGUAUCAUAAAGAAUCAUAUGCAUGGUUGCCGACUGAGUCUUAAUUUCUAAUAGAUUGAGGUGUGUGCCAGUGAUAGGAGCAUAAUUAUGCGACUUAGUUAGCUUGUUCUUACAUUUCUGUUGUUAGUUCCUAGUUAUUUUAGUAUUUUAAGCUAUUUUCGUAUGUUUGUAGGUCCAAAGGGCUAAAGUAGCAAGAAAAUGCAAUUUGGUGCAUUUUGGAGCAAUUUUGGGCUUGGAAUGGAUAACACAUGUAUGGAGCAAGGUGGAUGGACGAAUUUGAAAAUCAAAAGAGGCUAGGAAUGUGUUGAAGAGAUGAAGGAAAUAAAUUCAAAACAAGGAAGAUAAGGAAGCUCAACAAGAAAGAAGGAAUGUUAAUCAAGUUACCUUAUUUUGUCCUAAUCCUUUCCUAAUCCUACACCACCUAAUUUCCAGCUGCAAGGAGGAUCUCUAAAUAUAUUAGGACACCUAUUGGUAGAGGUCAUCUCAUCAGUCGAGGCCGACUGGUUAUCUAUCCAAGUCUUGCUCGAGAAGGAUUUUUGAAUCCUUAUUGGUAGAGGUCAUCUCAGCAGCCUUCUCGACGAAGUGAGGUGUUACAGGUUACUACAUUUGGCACAUUGAAAGCCGAAUUUGAUAUUGAAUUUUAUAGAAUGAGCAGCCUUGUCUUUAGGCUCUAGAACCCGAAGGCUGAGACAUGUUCCUUCCUCGGUCGCAGUUGCAAGAUCAAGAAGUCAGCAACGCGCUCAACACAACAUCAAAAAAUUUAACUCCCCGACCGAGCUCACCAUCAAGUUGGCAAGCCCUGUACACAACCGAAUGAUGUAGUUAGCUCAUUAGUUACUCAGCAUAUGUGCCAUGUAGGCUUAGUAGUUUUUAGAGUCAACACAACCAAAUGCCAAAGAGAAAGUUAUCUCACCGGUUGCUCAUCAUUUAGUUAUGCGGUACGCCCAUAGAUAUCCGAGAAGUUCGUCUAGCCAUUUUCCCUUCUUGUUAAAAAGGGAUUUCAUAAGGCAGUCGAGGAUCAUCUUAUUAGAUGCUUCGGCCAGCCCAUUGCCUUGGGGAUACCUCGGUGUCGACAAAUGCUGCUUGAUGCCAUAUUUCUGGAAGAAGCCAAAUCUUUGCCUACGAAUUGCGGGCCAUUAUCCUUGACGAUGGAUUGAGGGAUGCCAAAUCAGCAAAUGAUGUUCCUCCAUAUGAAGCACUCUAUGUAUGUUUACGUUGUGGUUGUCAUGGGCUUUGCUUCCACCCAUGGCCCUACCAAGUCGAUUGCCCACUGCAUGAACAACCAAGGACUCGUUCGCGGUUGUAGUUUGUUGGCAUGCAAUGCUGGUACUGGCUUGUAGCAUUGGUAGCUGUCACACUUUUGUACUAACUCCUUAUCAUUUUGAUGCAUAGUUAGCCAAUAGUAGCCUGCAUUAAAAGCCUUCUGUGCUAAAGAUCGGCCUCCAAAAUUAUUUCCACAAACGCCUUCGUGGAUUGAGCUUAGAACCUUUAGGUCGUCAAGAGAUACUAGGCAACAGAGAUGUGGUCCAGUGUAGGAUCUUUGAACGAGAAUGUCAUUCCACAUGUAAUAGCGUGCUACCUUUAUUUGGAGCUUUAUAGACUCCAACCUUUCUAUGGGGAAUGUGCCAUUAACCAAGUAGUCUAUAAUGGAACUUUGCCAGUUUGAAGUUAUACUAAACUAUGACACCUCGGCUGCUGGUUCUGCCUCUAUGCUUGGCUUGUCUAGAUACUCCACCGGAAUAAAGCGUUUAAGUUAGUGGUCGAUGGCGGAGCCUAAGCCGGCUAGCCCGUCCACGUGAUCGUUGUCUACCUGCGGAACUUAAGUAAAGGUGUAAGUCUGAAAUGCUGAUAUGGUCUGAUCGCUACUUACCUUUUACCAUGAUGUCGUCGACGUAGACCUCCAUGGUUACUCCAAUUUGCUUCUUGAACAUGAUAUUUACAAAUAUUUGGUAAGUGGCUCUCACAUUCUUGAGGCCAAAGGGCAUGACCUUCUAACAGUAGGUGCCUCGCUCGAUCACGAACGUAAUUUUUUCUUUGUUGGGCUCAUACAUGCUAUUUGGUUGUAGCCGGAGUAUGCGUCCAGGAAACUGAGCAGCUAGUUCCCAAAAGUUGAAUCUAUUAAUAGAUCAAUUUGAGGAAGUGGAUAAGGAUUCUUUAGGCAUGCUUUGUUGAGGUCGGUGUAGUUUACGCAAACCCUCCAUUUGCCCUUCUCUUUUUUCUUCACUAGCACGACGUUGGUAAGCCAUGCUGAGUGUGCUACCUUUUAUAUGAAUUCAGCCUCCAAUAACUUGUCAAUUUCUACCUCGAUGAUUGCUACUCACUUGGGUGCAAAAUGUCUUCUCUUUUGGAUCACCCAUUUAGCAACGGCGUCGACGUGCAGCUUGUGGCAAGCUAUCUUGGGGUCGAUGCCAAACAUGUUGGAAGGUGACCACGCGAAGACGUCAUGAUUUUCCCUAAGGAAAGCCAUGAGUUUCUCAUUUUCUUUCGGGCUUAGACGUGAGCCAAUUCUAGUAAUCUUCUCCGGCUGCUGGGGAUCAAGAAUGAUGUGUUUAACGUCCUCUUUGGGUUUCCAUCCCAUCUCAUAUGCUGGCGUGUAGGUUUGGACACCAUCUUUUUGAUCCGUUUGCUGUAAUUGCUAUUUGGUAGCGUCAUUGUCACUUUGGACCUCGGUAGCCUCUACAAGGGUAAAUGUCUUUUUUUUUUACUUCUUCAGUACUUGCACAGUGCAUCGUCAAAAUACAUCCUGGUCAGACUUAAUUUCUCUGACUCCUCCUCCAGGGAUGCAGAAUUAGAUUUUUUGAUACAUGACGGAAGUGACAGUGUCCAGCUUUAUCAGCCAAGGUCGCCCUAGAAUCCCAUUGUAGGGAAACGGGCUACUUACUAUAGUGAAUGUCUAUUUUGAGACAACUGGCAGUGUUUUCACGUCAAAUGUGAUAUGGCCGAUAGCAGUCGAGGUGUGUCCAUUGAAUUCGGUGAGUACCUCUGCUAGGCGUGUGAUAUUAUUUUCCAAGCCCAUCUUCUGAAUAACUGAGAGUUGAAGUAGGUUGACUACAUUUCCGUUAUUAACCAUCAUCAUGUCGACGAUAGUAUGGGCUAGUUGGACAAAUACCACCAGUGCGUCGUCAUGUGGGAAGUCGACACCUUGGGCAUCCUACUCGGUGAAGCCAACAAUGGGUCUAAGUUGGGUGUUGACUGCCUGGACCUGCAAGACCAGUAGAGCCUGUUGGAUCUUCCUCUUCUUAGAAUUGUUGGUGGCCCCCAAGUGCUCAAAUUCAACGAAGGUGUCAUUAAUCCAAAUCGCCUUGUUGGGCGGUGAUUCAUCAGAAUUUGCAUUUCUUCUAAGCUGCACAACUGGCUUGUCCAAGUAUCUGUCGACGUUACCUUCCUUCACGAGUUUUUUUAGGUAAUUCUUCCAAGUAUAGUAGUCAUCGAUUGUGUGAUCGGGACCUCGGUGGAAUGUGCAAUACUUGGUGUAGUCCAUCUUGGAAGUAUCUCAUUUUGAUUGUUUUGGAAUCUUGAACCAUGGUUCACUUUUGAUGUCACGAAGGAUUUGGUGGAUCGGAAUCAAGAACUUUCUUGGGCAUCAAGCCUCCUUUAUUCGAGGAUCGAUCCCUACGCUUAGCCCUCUACCUACUUUUGUUGUUGUACUGCUUUCCGUAUUCCUUCUUUUGAGCUAAUGCUGACUCAUUUCGAGGCUGCUUGGGAGCCUUGUCCGCUCGUCGAGCCUCAUCCUAAAGUGCAUGCUUUUCUACCAGAGUUAGAUCUUCUUUCAUGAUCAAUUCUCUAAACAGCGGGUGGUCUUCUGGGAGUCCUUUUUGGAAGGGUGCACUUGCUAUCGAGUCGUCGCAUUUGACUAUCUUCGCCUUCUCUGCUUUGAACCUCUUCACGUAGUCACGGAAUGACUCAUUUGGAUUCUUCUUCACAUUGAACAAAUGGUCGGACUUCUUCUUGAUCGAGCGGUAAGAUGAGUAUUCUUUGGUGACAACCAAGGAAAACUCAUCAAAACUCUAGAUGGAUCGUGGCGGUAGGGUGUGGAACCAAUCUUGCGCCUCGCCUUAAAAAGUGGUGGCAAUAUCUUACACAUAAGAGCAUCGUUGUUCCGAUAAAGGACCAUCGUGCUUCGAUAGUGCUUCAAGUGUAUCUCUAGAUCUCCAUCUCCUUUGAAAAAUGUGAAAUAUGAAAUGCUAAAGUUGUAUGAAGGCUCUACCUACUCGAUCUUGUUCGUGAAAGGUGACCUGCUCAUGUUGGUCAUGUCCCGUCGUAGUGCCUCAUCAGUGACCUCGUUGCGUUGGAAGUCAUGCAAUCGCUUGGUCAAGAGUCUCUCUACUUCUUCCUGAAUUUGGCUUUGUUAAGGUAGCGGAGUUCUUGACUACCCCCGAUCUUGACCUGCUGGUUUAGGCUGCUCUUCUAUGUAUUUGGCUCCUUUAUGCUGUGGUUGCGGUGCGUGUGGCACAUCCCUAGUAGGCGAGUAGAUUCCUCGCAGGCUGCCAGUUGAACUUGAGCCGGAUUGAGUGACUGCUUCUUUCCAUCCGUCAUGCUGCCUACUCUGAUGUGAGGAGGAUGAUGCUCCUUGCAGGCCUAGCCGUGAAUGAACACUUCGCCUAGAAGGUUGCUCAUGUUGAUUAUCGGAUUGUGGUCCCAAUCAUGAGUGUAUGUUUAUCCGUAGGCCUAACUGAGAGUACACGCUCGUCCACGAGCUAAGACGAGAGUAUACGCUAUCUUAGGGGCCCAGUCGAAAGUGUACAUUGCCGGAACGCUCGAUUCUUGGCUAGUUGAGUGGUUGCCUGCUAGGACGCUGCUGGAGAAAAGAUUCGUCUCCUAUUGUUCUACUUCGGGACACCUUGUCAGGGGCAUGUUGCAUCUUGGUGCACUAUAUGAGCUAAUUCACCAAGGUCGUCUACUGUGCGAGGGCCCUUGUUAACUCUAUGACUUGUCAAGACAAGUGUUGUUCACCAUUUAGGUUGGAAGAGCUUGGACAGAAUGAGUCUCCUUGAGUAGUGGAAGUGUGGUAGACUCUAAGUGCGAGAUUUGAAUUCGAAAAUGUCAAAUCUAGGGAGAAAUGUGGUGAAAAUGCCCCCGGUUCAAUUGUCGGCCCAGAAAUAUGAAGUCAGGAUGGUUGAACCGUUCUUGGACUGGUUUGGGCUACUUGGGAAGCCACGAAAGUGGGCUACUCCACGUGUGGCACUCGUGGGAGUUAGGCCUAGGCUCUGCUCGGGUGCGUUUUGGGCUCGCGUAGGGUUGUGGCUCGGGUUGGCUCAUCCUGGGCUUGGGCCCUUGAAGCUUGAAAUUGCAUGACUUUUGUCCUUUGGUCUUAAGCUUGACCUUGGAGUGGACUGGGCUCACAAUAGCCUUGGGCUCGCGAGGUCUGGGCCACUGCUCCUGCCAUGGCUGCCUGAUUCUGGGGUUGCUUACCUUGGGCCUUCUUGGGCUGGGUUCCCUUGUGGUGCAGGCCUGGGCUCGCUGCUGCAAGGUGGCAUGGGCCUGGGCUUUUGGUUGCAAGGUGAGGCCUGCUCCUUGGGCUUGGAUCUCGCCAUAAGUUGCCACGGUGGUGCCCCGUGGGGGUGGUACCAUUCCACUCGCCGUUGCGUUGAGCCUCGUGGAUUGUCGUGAUCUAAAUCCUUAAACGUAGGAAGUUCCGUUCUUUGUGGUUUCCGAAUUUCUUGUCAUUGUACUUUUCUUUUACGUUUAUGCAAUUUUUGUAUAAAAAAUUCUAGGAAUGAGAGCGUACAAAAAAUCUACGAAUGAACAAAAAAAUUAGAAACCAUGAAUGCGAGAGUCUAAUGUGAAAUUUAACUAGCACUCAAAUUAAACCCUCUUAUUGACAAUUGUAGUAAAGAUGUAAGUAGGAAUCGUUCUAGGUCGGAGAUUAGGAGGGAUGCUAAUCUACUCAAAUUUAACUCAAAAACACUUAACUAGGCUUGAAAACACUAAACUGGACUCUUAUGAACUCAAAACAAACUAAAAAGACUCAAAACAGCACAAAACAAUUAAAUAAACUCAAACUACACACUAGAGGGUGAAUUGGACGAAAAUUGAUUUUAACUUAACUCAAAACACUUAAAAACACUUAAAAACACAAAUUGGACAUAUUUUAACUAACUUGGCACAACAAAAGUAAAGGGGAUUGGGUUUUUGACUAAUUUAAAGUAAAACUAAACAGAUUUAAGACUCUAAAUAACUUUGGACGAAAUUGGUGAUUUAAUGGGUGAAUGGCUAGCUAGAGGAUUCUUCUCCACACAUGACACACUUGCAUACAAAUCAAUUUCCAGUUGCUUUUCCAAUAAACCAUGAACCUCAACGCCCCAGAUUAACUGUGAAUGGCACUAAUUAACCCUCAGAUUUUCCUUAAGUCAUUGAAUUGGAUGGACAACGCAUCAGCAACCAAAUUAUUCUUCAAUAGUUCCCUACAUGAACAUCAUAAUAGAGAUACAAUCAAAGAUCAUUAAGCUUUGUGAAAAUCAUAAGCAUUGACAAGGCAUUCGUAACUAUGACAGCAUGAUACUCCUGCCAGGAAUUCACUUAACAUGAUUGUGACUAGCAACCUCCACUACUUGUGAAUAUAAGUCCAUAACUAUUAGGUGAAAUUCCCUUAUAUUUUAGCAUCAAAUCACUUCAUAUUACAAAUAUGUUCAUGUUACAAAUCACUUCAUAAACAAGAAUAAGUUAUGAAUCAAACAGUUAAGUAAAUUGCAUUCACGAUUCAUGAAAUCACAACUGGAAGUAAUCAAUUCAUAUUACAAAUAUGUUCAUGGCUUUGAAUUUCCCCCUAGCUAAAAUGAGUUUAGCUCUUCAUGUUUGCAAUUAAACAAAGACAAUUAAAUUUAAACAUUGAAACAAAUGAUAGAAUACACCUAGAAACGCUCCAACAAUCCAACGUCUUGAAUGGCAAGCACGGCUCCAGGGGUCUCAUCUCCUAUCUCAUUGCAAAGCUGCGGCACAAUGGGAUGAAUGUGUAUGAGGCAUGUAUGGGACGAAUUUGUGAUGGAAGAUGGGUGAUUUCUGAGUGCUACGGCAGAAUGUAAGGCACGGCUAGGGUGAGUAGGAAGAGAAUUAGGACUCCAAAUCAUCAAGGAAUAAAGAUACUUCUAAUCAGAUUCCAGGGAGGAAAAGAAUUAAUGUGUUUAGAUGGAUUAUGACUCCUAAAUUCAUAUGGGAAGGAUUUAGAAUAGGAUAAGGACUCCUUUUGCAACUAGACAUAAGGUAGGAUAAGAUUAGGAUAGGAUAAGAUAAGAUAAAGUUAGUUUGGAUAAGAUAAGAUUGGAUAAGGUUUUGGAUAAUGUUCCUUCUUUUUAGCUGAAUCCUUAUCUCUUUGUCUUGAAUUCAUUUUCUUCAUCUUUUUAGCACAUUCCUAGCCUCUUGAACUUCAAAAACGUCCAUCCACUUUGCAAUGCAUGUGCUAUCGAUUAUUGGCCCAAAACUGCUCCAAAUUGCACUUUCUUGCCAACUUUGUCAUUUGGGCCUAUAAACAGAAACUAACUAUGAAAGUGCAAGAAAACAAGCUAACUAAGUCGCAUAAAUAUGCUCCUAUCAGAGUCUUCUUUGAGCAUGUGAAUCAAGACUCUUAAUGAAAGCUCCAAUUUGUGGAUGCAAAUUUCUGCCUUCUUCUUAUUGGAUGAAAAUGCAAUUACAAAACAAUUAACACCUAAGAUCAAGGCCAAGAGCCUCACGUGCCCACGAUUUUGUUUUGGGGGGGGCUUUGGCCGAAAAGUCUCCGAUGCCAAAGUUAGAAAUUGAGAGAUAAAGUGUUUAGAGAAUUUUAGAAGAAGAAUGAACUUAGGUUUUUUGGGAAAUGAUGGGCUAUAUAUAGGGGUGUGGUCAGCCCUGUUUGGGAAAAUAGGGACAGGCCACUUAUGGUGGUAAUUUGGCUCUAAUUGCAAAAUAUUAUGUAGCAUAAUAUCUUGCAAUCAACUAGAUAAUUAAUAAAUAAAUGAGGUAAUUAAUCAAUUAAUUUUGACAAUUAAUCCUAGUUCGAAAAGAAUAAUUGGGAGUUACCUUGUGGGGGAAGAUUUGAUGAGGGGUGAUGAGAGAGUUUAAAAGAAUACCAUUUUGAUCACUUUUGACCUUGAUUGAGCCAUUAUUGUCCGUUGCAUGCGCGAAAUCCCAGUCUGCUUUAAAGGUAAUUUUGUCAUUUUCACCCAAAAAUUCACGUGUCGCCUCCAUAAUUUUCUUGAUUAUUUUUUGCUCCACAUAGUUGAACUAGAUAAUUAAGAGAAAAGCAGAUAACAUAAUUGAAACUUGAAAUUCUUUACCUGAGAUACAUUGAACUGUAUCCAAAAUCGAGCCAAGUCUCUUUCAUAAGCAUCUUCAGGUAGCAGAUUAUUCUCUGACCAAGUUUCUUCAAUGUAUUCAAGGAUGACAUCCGACUCGGAAAUCGAUUUUCCCAGGUCAAGAAGCACCGAAACCUUCUUGUAAACUGGAUUGCACUGCAACAACAGAAGUUCACUCUUGUUGGAAAGGUCUUGUUCUAUGUAAUCAUAUUUCACACCCUUGAGGUUUAGAGCCCUUAUCACUCUGUAAACAUACGGACUUGGCCAAAACCCUAGUAGCUUCACUUCCAUUAUUCGUGUGAUUAGGUGAACGAGGCAGGAGCCUGAUCAUACAUGUAUACUAAUUUAAAUUUGAAUGGGUCUCUAAAAAAGGUCCUCUUUGGAAGUGACAGGCCUUUCUUCCCUUUUUUUUAUAAAAAAAAUUAAUAUUUUUUUUUUUUAACAAACGAUACCUACACUAAGGAAAAAAUGUGAGCUUAACUUCACAAUAGACUAUCAAUAAUGCAUGAAGUGACAAGUAGACAAUGAAAAUCAUAAAAUAAUAUUUAGUAUGAUAUAAAGUAAGAAAUUUUAUCUAGAAUAGUAUGAGUGUAAAGUAAAGUAAGUUGAUUGUGAUGAAAAGGGAUUUUCCUUAUCAUGUAGUAAAGGAGAAAAGAAGAAGAUGUCUUGUUUCCAAAAAAAAAAAAAAGAAGAAGAUGUCUCUUGAUAUUCAAUAAAGGUUAUACAAACAAAUAGCCUUGAUAGUAUGCUUUGUAACAGGGAGAAAGUGCAUUACGUUUAACACGGCAGUGGUGGUGACCGCGGGGGCCGUGGCGGCAAUCGCAGUUGGAGAAUAUAAACUGAAAUAAGAUCACCUAAAAGAGAGAGGUAAGGAGAGAGAGUGUAUCUACGUGAUAGUUUCUCAUUAUUAUUAUUCUAGUCAUGAGGCUGCUGAUACACAAACUGAAUCCACAGAAUAUCUCAGAUCUGAGGGACAAGCAUUUCCCUUGCGCGUUUCAUAUGAGCAACCAAUAUUUGGUAGUUAGGAAGGUUGUCUCUGAUGACAGGAACUUGCUUGAAAUUCUGAACCCAUGCAUGCAAUCGAGGCAAGGUGCUUGGCUCGAGCAAUUUGACACCCACCAUUUCUUCAACGGCUUCGAAAUAAAGAGCCAGCCAUCCAUGCGUUAUGUCUACCAAGUUUAUACUAUCACCCCCAAAACUUCUUGUCACCAAGCCCUUGCUCUUCCAAUAUUUUCAGCGUUUCCAACACUGAUUCGAUUGUCUUUUGUCGAUCUUCUCCGGCAGUUAAUCCGAAAAAUGCAUUAAAACUGGGAAUCUGAUGAUGUAUAAAAAGAUAUGGCUAAGCACUUAUUUUGAUCUUUUAUAGGGAAACAUAAAUUCGUGCGCAUGCUAAUCAUAGCUAUUUGGUUUCAAUCUGAACUCCUAGAGGGCAUGAUGACAAGCUACUUAGGUAGGAAAAAUCCCCAAUUUGAUCAUCACAAUGAUUUGUCUUGUUCUUAACAAACUACAAAAUUAAACUAGUGAGAAAAAUUGAACCCAUAUGAGCAGCAUUUUUCUGUAAAUUAUUGGGAGUCUCUCAAUAUAUAGUUGAACUAGAUAAUUAAGAGAAAAGCAGAUGAGAAAUAAUUGAAACUUGAAAUUAGUCACCUGACAUACAUGGAAUUGUAUCCAAAACCGAGCCAAGGCUCUUUCAUAAGCAUCUUCAGGCAGCAGAUGAUUCUCUGGCCAAGUUUCUUCUAUGCAUUCAAGGAUGGCAAUCAACUCGGAAAUCGGUUUUCCCCGGUGAAAAAGCACCGGAACCUUCUUGUAAACUGGAUUGCACUGCAACAGAAGUUCACUCUUGUUAAAAAUGUCCUGUUCUAUGUACUCAUAUUUCACACGCUUGAGCUUUAGAGCCCACUAGAAAGUUUUGCCCGCGCGUUGCUGCAGGAUUAGAAAUUAUGUGAAAAAUUAUGUUGUACAGGUAUAAACACAUCAACUUAUAUCACAUGUAAUUAAAUCAAGCAAUCUCUAAACAUGAGAAAUGGAUCUUAGAAAGUAUAAAUCCUACCUCAUAAUAUUAAGGGAAGUGUUAUUGGCACUCCAAAAAUCUCAUUCUACACUCCUCACAAGUGUAUUUUUCUUUUCUAAUAUAGAAAGUUUGGAGUGUAGAAUGAGAGUUUUGGAAUGCUAAUAACAAUUCUCAUUUUAUACAAUUAACAAAUUCUCAGUGUAUGAUCACAAAAAGGUAUAGAAAAGUAAUUCAAUUUUUAAAUUUCAAAAAUGGGAAAGAUAAAAAAAGGGUCUAAAUUCUCAGUUCUCAAUAUAACGAAAAUUAUGAUAUCAUUUUAACAUGAACUCGGGUUUUAUCUCGGUCACCAGCAUUAAUAAAGCUAGUGACUUCAACCUGUGCAAGCAAACAACUAAAUUAGACGCAAGCCAACUUCAAUUUAACCGAAUCAAAAAAGCAACCACGAUCAACCAACCACUCUUCUUCCCAUAUGUAGAAGCUAUUCUUUGUUUGCCUUUGUGAGCAGUGCACUUUUCACUCUCUACACACAAAAUGAACACUCAAAAUGCUCAGCAACAUUAAAAAACUUAAUAAGUUAUAUGUAUACAUUACUAUAUAUGUAUUUGGACAUAAAGUAUAAAAAUUUACUAUCAGAUUAACAAAAGAAGUAAUUAUGAAUUGGAAUUAAAUGAUAUUAUAGUUGUUAAAAAAAUACCUAACCAAUUUUUACACAUAGCAUCAUAAAUUGUUAAAAAAAAAUAACAGCACUGAAAUAUCUAAUUACUCAAAUCUAUAAUUCUAUUAAAACACAUCACUGAAAACCCCAAGGAGAGAGGUGCAUAUUCCUAACCUUGCACGGUUAAAAUUGCAUUUUGUUUGAGGGGAGAAAAAUGAUCAGAACUGAUAAGUCAAUAGUUAAAUAGGUUUACUCUGGUGUCAAAUGUUUUUUAAUACAUACAGAAUACUCUCUAUUUAAAUCAACAUUGAUUCUUGCAUACCUUCGGUUAUAUAAUGUUUGGAGUUGAAUGUAUAUAUACCCAGAUGGGAAUAAUUCUUUAUCCGAAACUUAGAACAAACCAACUCAUCCGAGUACGCAAUGGAACUUAGCUACAACUCCAAUAUAAUCAAUGUAAAUUAUUAUAUUGAAACAAUGUGAUCAAACUUAAACAAAACUCCAAAUCCACCAAAAGUUUAAAUUUCUUACCUUGAGUACAGAGGGCUUCAGAAAACAACAACAUUUUAGCCUGGAAAUAAAAUCCACAAAAUUAGAAAAAUGAAAUUUGCAUAGAAUUAACAGUUCUAAAAUGAUAGAUAACAAUAAUCUCACACUAUAUUAUACAAAAAUUUAACCACAAAAAUAGAAAAUGGACAGAUUCAUAUAGGAAAGCAGCAGCAGAGCAACUACUGGAUUCUCUCAAAGAUAAUAUUGUCAAAUUUGUAAGAUUAAGCAAGCAAGAGAGAGUACUGGCUUGCAAAGCGUAAGUUGUUAAUCGACACAUUAUUCUGUCCUAAGUUAAGCAACUGAAGGUUUGUUAAGGCACAUAACAUAAUCAAACCAAGCUUAAAUAUUUUUAAAUACAACAGAAGAAUUUAUUUUUUUUCAAAACCAAGAUAAAAAUCUGAAAAAAAACACAAAAUGCAAGGUAUUCUCUGAGGAAGGAAAGAGUUGCGAACUGCAGAAGACAACAGUUGAGAACGACAAACCACAAAUUCGCCAUAAACCGAAGCAGAGUUGUGAGAACAGACGAAAAUUAAUCAAUCAAUUUCAGAAAAAUAGAGGAAAAAUUAACAAACCUGAUCAAAUAGGAUCUGGAUAAAUCUUAGAACAUACCUGAGUUCAAUUCAACUUGUAUGACAACAGUCCCAACUGUGGGAUCGCCGAUGAUAACAGAGACCAACACCCUAAAGAACCGGAUUCAAUGAGAAGGAAUAGGAGGAAGAAGACACAACCCAAGUUUAAACAUCAUAGAAAAGAAACUAAUGUCAGUACCAUAGAGUUUGAUUUGGGGAUGUCUUUUCUUGUUAGACUAAACAUAUAAACCAAGAUCGUGUAACAUGAAUCACAGCCAUCCAAACACAAACUGUAGUUCAUAACUAUUGUACAGAGUAGAACUCUUACCUGCAGAUCCAGCUUUACACAAAAGCACAACCAUCCCAAAAACCAAAAAUAAGGAACGUAGGAUUUUAGAACCCUGUAAGAAAGGGAGAGUAAAGGAAAGUUUAAUGAUAUAAACAAACAAUAGAACAGAUCCCAUAAGUUCCCUAAAAUGAAUGCUACAAUAUGCACAAAAUGUAACUAUUAGUAAUAGUAACCAAUGUAAUCAAACAUAAAUAAAAUGGUAUCGUCAAUUUUGUUCUUUUUCAUAGAGCUCUGAGGUUGAGUCUUAUGAAAUGGCGAGUUUGAUACAAAUUAUAUUUCUGGCAAAUAUUCCUCUAAUCAGAUGCUCUACCCACUUGACUUCAUCUUCAAUAGCAUCAUUAAGAUCCAAUACAUUCUCAAACAGGGAUAUUGCCUUGGCAUUCUCUUCAUCCUGAAGAGUUUAAUCAUGAUCACAAUUCCGAACUCCAAGUCAAUCAAUUAUCUACAUCAAUGGACUAAUAAAGCAUCCAAUAACAAUAAAAAGUACCCACCUCAACUUUCUUGAAUAUAUCUUGGAAUCCCAACUCCCUAAGAACUUGCUCCCGAAGUCUGCAAAGAAGCUGGAUUUCCCCAACAAAGCAGGAAAAAAAAAGAAAUGUGAAUGCUAGGAAAACGAUGCCGCAAUAAAUCAUGACUACAACAUAAUAGAAAGUGAGAAAUCAACUCAAAUCAAAAUUUCGAGCUUACAAUGCAAUCCGGCGGGCCGCCGUGACUCUCAGGAUCCUUUUUCAAGUCCUCCAGUAUCUCAGUGUACCCUUCAGGCAAAAAUACAAAAAAUUGCAGGCAUUUCCGAAAACCCAAUUCACUCAUCGCAAAACAAUCAGUAAAGUGUGUAUCUUUGAGCAAAUUUCUUAGCUCUUGCCGGAGCGUCGGGAACCGAAGCGUCAGACUCAGCUCGUUUCCUGCCGAAACCAAUCAAACCCAUUAACGAAAAACCCAAGAAAUUAAGAUUUAUGAUGGAGGUUGGGGAAAGGAUGAGGAUUAUCACUUGAAGGAGGGGGUGGAAUUGUAGAAGAGGUCGAUCCAGGAGAGCUCAGUGGGAGUGGGCUUGCGGGGAUUGUUGGAAGGGAAUAUGUAGGGGAUGGUGCAGGCUCUGUAAUUGAAUUCGAUCGGCAUCGUCAGCAGUGGAAAUAAAGAGUGAAUUAGAAGAUUUAUCAGAGAGCUUACCUCUACAGUUAUUGCCGACUUGAACAAAUCAAGCUUCUGUAGCAGUCUACAGAUCACAAAGCUGAGAGAUGGUGAUUGAAACUUGACAGGGAUGUGGUUUAAGUUUUUCUGCGGUGAAGCGGUGAACGAUAGAAGAGAUGAAGGGCUGGUUUGGUAUUGCUGUGCUUUGAAAAAAAACUGUUGUGAGAAUAAGCGGCUAUGCUGUGAGAAUAAGCGACUGUGAAAUAAAUCAGCGGAGUGUUUGGUAAACUUUUUUGUAAAAGUGAUUUUGGAAAAAAAAAGCAGUCUGAUAGUGGAUCUUUUCAUUAAAGAAGCACUGUAGCUCCGUGUGCUUUGAAAAAAAAGCCAGUUUUCCAAAGCUGCAAAUAGCAGCUUCAGCUUUUUCCUUUGAUUUCAACUUAUUCUCAUAGCAGCUUCCAAAAUAAGUUAUUUUUUUUCAGUUUACCAAACACCUAAAACCCUCACAGUUUUUUUUCAUGGGUGCUAUUUUUUUUAAGCACCUCACUCCCAAACCACCCCGAAGAGGGAUGAAAGUUUGCCAUAUGGGGUGAGGAUGGAGGGGCGAAGAAUGAAGAAAGCGGUCGAGGAUCCCACGCGUCACAAAACUGUUACUCAUUUGACAGCAAAGCAAUAGGGGCAAAAUUGAAAUAACAAAAAAGAAGCAGGGAUGAAAAUGGAAGAACACUGUUAAUGAACAGUGUUUUUUGUGUUGGGUUUUAGUAUAUGUAUAAUAUCACUCUGUAAACAAACGGACUUGGCCAAGACCCUAGUAGCUUCACUUCUUCCAUUAUUCGUGUGAUCAGGUGAUCGAGGCAGGCCUAAUCAUACAUAUAUACUAAUUUAAAUUUGACUGGGUCUCUAAAUAAAUUGUAAGAAAAUGAAAUUGCAGAGUCACCCUAUUUGCAGAGUCGUUUUUUUUUAUUAAAUUUUAUUUAUUUAUAUAUAUAUAUAUAUUUUGUUUUUUUUGUUUUUUUGAAGAGCCGGUCUUUCUUGUUUUAGGGUAGCAAAAUUAUAAAAAUUUGCCCAGUAUCUGUGGUUUGCAGAUAAUAUCACUGUUCUUUCGCGUCUAAUAAAGUGAUUAAUUACUCAUUCUAAAAUUUUACUAGGAGAAGCAAUUUUUGCACUCUGUUCUACUAUUUUGUACACUCAUAUUUGUUUAGAUUGUUUGAACAUUUUGUUUAUAUAUGCAAGAAAAGGUCGAAAACGAAUAGGGUGUACAAGAAGAGUGAAAAUAUGAGAAAAUCACUUGUAUUUUCUCAAAUGACAGAGGAGAAGGUGCAUGAUUUGUUUUCUAGUUCUUGGCGUGAGAAAACAAUGGGCUUGUUUACCCAAAAAUACAAAAGGGCUGCCGUUUCAAACUCACCUAAUUUCUUUGAAAAGAUGUGAUUAUUCCCAACUCUAAUCUUGACCUAUAGUCAUGGACUAGCAACGGUGCCCGUGCGAUGCUGCGGGUUUAAAAUUGUAGAUGUUCAAAUCUAUUUACAACUGUUACCAAUUUGAAUGAGAUGUACAAAGAAUUUGUGCAAGCUGGACACAUGGAAUAUCAAUAGUGACAUAAUUUUUUCUUAAGACAUUGGAAAAACUAAGUUAAAACUUGUAAUCACACGACUCUUCAAUCACAUGACACAAAACACAACUACUGUUCACAAACAUGUAUUAGCCAAGAAUGGAAAAUCACCAACGAUGAAAUGUGGUAACAAAUCAAUAACCUCACUUAUAUAGCUUUAGGAUUAACUAUGCUAAUUUGUUUAUGUAAGUGAUCUGUCUGCCCACAUUUUCCUUUUUUUUAGCAGACAAUAGACAUAUUUUGUUUUUUUAAAAUGUGCGAUGACAUAUAAUACUAUAACAGAAUGAUGAAACAAAACAGGUUAAUUUUUUAGCACAACAUGGGUUAAAAUUACCUACAUUUUACAUAUGCAGAUUAAGGGAAGUGGUGGCAAACCUUGUAAUUUGUGCAAGUUGAUCAUCUGCAAUAUCAACAGUGACAUAAUUUGUUGUUAAGGCACUGGAAAAAUUAUAUUAGAACCUGUAAUUACAUGACACUCGAAUCACAUGAUAGAAAACCACAGAGAAUAGAAAUUGAAAAAAAAGAAGUUGAUAGAAAUUGAAAAAAAAAAAGAAGUUGAACACAUUAAGUCUUCACAAAACUCCCAAGAAUGAAAAAUAAGCAAAAAUACAGAUUACCAAUGAAGAAAUGAGGAAACCUAUCAGCAACCUAAAUUGUACGCUCAUUUUAAAUAAGUAUGAUAGAGAGUUAACAUUAUAAUCAAAUUUGAUGAGCCCAACUGGAGAAAAUUGAAUACUAACAUUCAAAGUGGAUUAAAAAGAUGAGAAUAUGCUUUAAAUAAGUAUUAAGUCUGUAUUUAUGUGUAGUACAAUUGUGUGGGAUUAGAAAUUGAAUAUACUAUCUUAUAACUGAAUGAUCAUGCAAGGAAAAUUACCGUGAGAUUGUAAGGAGCAUGGAAAAGUAAUCUAAACAAUUAACAUUACUGAUUAGUAGUUAACUUCUUAGCAUUUUCAUUGUAAAAAUUAAAUAUAAGGGUGUAAAAAGAUGGAUCAGAUUUAGUUGGUUUGGUAAUUUUCCAAGUUAUUUCAGUCUUCAUCAUUUGGAGGAAUAACAUCACUUCCAUCUUUCAACUGUUACUAAUUUAUACACAGACUUUAUUCUUUUGACCUAUUCUAAAUGCAUGAUUAAUCACUUGACUAUACACUGAGUGGUUUAAGAUGGACAUCCAAAAGUAUAAACAGAGAUGCUACCACCAAAGAUGCACCCUCUCCACAUGCUUUAGCCAAAUAACACGUUAGGAGUGGGGGUACCAUUAAAUCUAAUUAAUGAGUGAUGGGAAUGGUUUAUGAAUAGAUUUAACAAUUCCACCAUUACUAAGGUGUUCUUUGGCUUAAUUAAAGCUUGUGGAGAGGGUAUAUCUCUGGUGGGGACAUCUAUAGUCAUACUUUUGGAUGUCCAACUUAACCCCUUAGUGUGCAGGCAAGCAAUUAGCCAUGUAUUGAGACCAGGUGAAAAUAGGAUAGUAUGUAUGUGUGUGUGUGUGUACAUAUAUUGGUAGUAGUUAACUCCCCCAAAGAGAAACAAUAGCAAAGAUUGAAUUUAAAUGCAAAAUGCCAACGAAAGAAAACCAAGAAAAUCUAAAUAAUUUCACAUACCAUUGGAUCCUUGCGAAACCUAUUUGUUGAAGCUACAACUUGGUUGUUGACUUUGUGAUUUCUUCUCUCUUUUUUUAGUGUGUAAUUGUUAGACAAAGCUUGUAACAUCUUAUUUCAUACCUAGACACCAAUCAUGUAAACUUCAUUCAUUAGAAUAUGUCUGAUCUUUCUGAAAUUCCAUGAAUUGUAAUUUUUUACCAAAAAAAUUGACAAAGGUCAAUAUCACACUCUCAACCAAACAUUAAAAAAGUGGAGGGACAAAACAAACAGGUUUUAGUCCUCACUAUAGUUAAAAUAGUUAUGUUAUUUGACAAUUAAAUAGCAGUGAUAGGUAUCAUCUGGAUUAAGAAAAUUAGUCAUUGAAGAAUCUCCAAGAAAUUAUCAAAGUGGAUUCAAGUUUAUAAAAUUUUUAUUGAAAUAAACUAAAAAAAGUAAUAGAAAUCAAGCUAACCUGUGUUUGGUAUAUGGAAGAUACUGGAUCUCCUUUUGGCCUUUGUAAAUGGCAUGUUGUUCAUUGUGUACAAAGCUAAAAAAACACAGUAAAAAUGUUAAUCUAGGCCAGAAAAAGUAUAUAUAGAGUGUAUUAUGUAAAUAUUUUCAUAUAAAGUAAGAAUAUUUAAAACAAUUAAUUGCAAAAAAAAAUAAAAUUUCAAAGAUAAGUCAGAGAAAUCUUUGAAGCAGAGAAAUAUAACAAAAGUUUUCCAAUUGUAGCCAUGCAUAAACCACUAAAAAAAGCCAAGUAUAUUGACAUAGCUGGAAUGCUAACCAGAAGACAUUAGGUUACGUGGAUAAAAAUGGAUUCAAAUAGAAUUGAAAAAGGGUAGGAACAAAUUUUUCGGAUUGAAAUUGACACAUGUAUAGCAAAGAACAUUAAGUUUUAACUUUUAAGCAUAUCAACUCAUGAAGCAUCCCAACAUAUAUAUGGAAAAAGAAUGAUACAAAUACCAGCAUACACAUGUAAAAGCAAUUAUUAACACAACUAACAAACAUUUGUAAAUUAAAAAUUUUGCACUAUUUAACAGCCCGACUCACCUUUCCCCUUUUUUUUCUCAAUUUGACCAAGAGCACUUUGCAGCUCAUAUACAGUGCUUCCAUACCAAUCUGCAGCAAAAAGUGAAAUUACAAAUUAAACACACACAAAACAGUAAAAGUAAAGUAUUUUUCUUUCCAUUCAAAGCAAUGCAUAACUGAAAAAAGCAUAAUUGUAAAAAAGAUUAAACUUUUUUUUUCAAAGCAUAUAUCGUCUAAAACCCAACGUUUAUAAACAGUCGCAUUUUUUGUCAAAAUUGUAUUUGCUUUACCUCCAUAAGUUUGAUUUCUUUUCAGUGUUUUUUAGAGCUUGACGAAACCAUGAAGAGACAAACAACAGCACUCAACUGUUUUUGCAACCUUGUAACCAGUUACACAAAUAAGAAUGCAACAUUUCUAUUAAAGCAUGUAAUUCUCCUCUUCCUAUAUUCUUCCCCUUUCUCUAGCUAAAUAAAAAUUUCCAAAACUAUGUACCAAAAGCUCAAAAGUGGGAUUCAAAGAGUCAAAAUGUUCAAAUGCUAUAUUUUUAUUAGGACUUCAUAGUCUAUUUAACACUUGGUUUCUCGAGUAGUAAGUUUCCCAUUCUUUGUCUAGUUAAUUUCACACGCCUACAACAAAUAAAAUAGUUGAAUAAUUUCAGUAUUUUUAUGUGCCUACUAAAGUACACAUAUGAAUAUCAAAACAAAAACCUCCAAUUAUCAUAGCAUUCCCUUUCUAUCUUUAUUUUUGAAAAAGAAAACACAAAUGGAAGAAAAAAUUCCACAAUUUGAACUUGUAACUCGUAACCACAGAGAGUCAAUAGCACUUCAAUUAUGUAAGAAGGGAAAGGGGGUGCAAAUAAGUGAUGCUCAAUUGAAAUCACUGCCUAGUUGUCAACUCUUUACUGAGUUUAUCCCAAUCAGCAACACUUUAACACAUCACCUUCCAAAAACUCUGCAUGUAUACCACGGAAUGAAAACACUUUAUACUCCAACCAACUUAACCCAUAUAACAUAUGAAGUCAUCCAACAGUUGCAGGGGGGGAAUGAAAACUGUAUCUAAUGGCACAACAACAUAAAGUUAUUUGUGGCAAAUCUUACAAUCAUAUGCGUCUCGAACCAUUUGAUAUCUGACGAAUCCUGAAAAAAAGAGUCAGCCGAAAUCAUGAAACCAAAAAAUCAGAAUGUUUACAAAGUAUUCCUUGAAGCAAAAGCAUGCGCGGGACAUUCACUUAAAAAAAUGAAAAGCUUUCAGUACCCAAAUAGCUAAAAGCCGAGAACAAAAAAAAAACAGUACCUUUGCGGGUUUGGAGCUCUUUUCUUAUAAAUAUUAUAGUAUUGGUGUGGCGCCUCAAUUCGUGGUGUUUCCGUCGAUAACAAUCGAAGGUGGGGCAGCUGGUUUGGGUGAAGAAGAAGAGGAGGAUCCAAGCCUACAAACAGAAUCACAAAAAACAAACAUAAACACAAAACCCAUCUGCACACGAUCGGAUCGGAAUCGAAAGAAAGAGAUAGAGAGAUCUAAACAAAGGGAAACACAGACGGAGAGAGAGGAGAAAAGAAGAGGAAAGGGAAAUGCCCAGAUCAGAAAACUACCACAAAGAAAAAAAAGGCGGAAGCUGAGUAGAAUACUCUCGAAGCGAAUAGAUCAACGAUGAAAGACGCGUGGCCAACAUGGGUAAAAGAGACUUUCCACUGCACAAAAAAGGAAUCAAUGCUUUGAGCCAUGAAAAAACAGAGGGCAUUUCCAACCAAACACUGUUCACGAACAGUGAAAAACAGUACCGGGGAAACCGAGUUUUAGUAUAGAUAAAAUAUCAGUAUGUCAUCACUGUGGAGAAUUUUCCUACUUGUGGGUACUGACUUUUUGACUUGUUGUUUGUAUGUGUCACCAUCAUGGAACACACUGGCAGAGCAAGUUAAGGGCUGCCCUCAACUGUAGCCCAGGUAGUUUGCAGUGAAAAAUAAAAUUUUACAUGUAAUUUUGAUUGAUUUUCGAAUGUAACCUAACAAAUAUUUAGUUACUACUUCAAAUUUUCUAGGUUUAACUAUAUAAAAUUAUAUAAUACAGUUUGAAAUAAUCUCUUUUUCUUACAUUAUUUUUCUCAUCGUUUCUUGUAAAUGUACAAGUCUGGAUUUGUUUAAUUUAACACGUAUUUGUUUAAUUACAAAAUUUUUUGACUCACCUUGUGAAUUUUUUUAAGCUAGUUGAUACUAUGAAAAAUACGAUAUCAAGUUUCUUUAUUUAUAAAAAUUAAAAAUUUUAAGCUAGCCCACCCAGUAAAAAAUUUCUAACCCCACUAUUAGAACAAUAUAAAAAGUCCGAAAAGAAAAUAUUUUUAUCUCAAAGAAAAAUGUUGAAAUAGGAUAAGUGACCACACUAUUUAGUUACGCGUACAGACUGAUGAGGUAUGGCAAAUGCAAACAGGUAGCCGAGGUCUUGAAAACUCAAGAUAUGAAGGUCGUCCCUACUAAAAGAAUUGUGCUCAAUUGUUGAGCUUCUUUUCAUUUUCUGUUUAUAUAGAACUUUACAAGUAUAGUUAAUUAGAACUUUACAGGUAUAGUGAAUAUUUCACAUGGAUACACUGCAUCAAUGUUUCUGCAUCUGAGUAUGGGCAGCAUUUGUUUAAUGCAUGCGUGGGCAGCAUUUGUUUAAUGCAUCUGCAUCUGAGUAUGGGCAGCAUUUGUUUAAUGCAUGCGUGGGCAGCAUUUGUUUAAUGCAUGCGUUGAGUGUAUUGCAGAGUCAUUCACAUGGGCAGCAUUUGUUUAAUGCAUGCGUUGAGUGUAUUGCAGAGUCAUUCAGCCCAAUAGGUUUGUGGCAUGGAUGCAUGAGCAAGAAGAGUGAGACCAGUUUCAACCAAAUGACGAUGUUUUCGUUCUGCCAUACCGUUUUGUUCAGGAUGGUGAGGGCAUGUAUAUUGAUGAUGAAUGCCAUGUUUUUCCAAAUAAGAUUUGAAAGUUUUGUUAAUAUAUUCUCCUCCACCAUCCGUUUGAAAAGUUUGGAUUUUUGUUUGAAAUUUAUUCUCCAUUUCAGUUUGAAAUUUAAUAAAUGUUGAGAACACAUCAGAUUUUAGUUUUAAUGGAUAAAGCCAUGUAUAUCGUGAAUAAUCAUCAAUGAAAAUCACAUAAUAGCGAAAACCAGAAAUUGACAAAGUAGGGGACAUCCAUACAUCAGAAUGAAUAAGUUGUAAAGGAAAAUGAGAAAUAGAAUUUGAUGGGGAAAAUGGCAAUUUCUUGCUUUUGCCCAGAGGGCAUGAAUGACAGACAGAAUUAAAAUGGUGCCUAGUAAGAGGCACUUUGCUAGAGGAAGCUAAAUGCUUUAAAAUAAAUAACGAAGGAUGACCGAGUCUAGAGUGCCAAAUACGAUCAUCAACCUUGACUCCCAUGCACGAAAACAGUCCAUGUCUUUUAAUGGAAUUAAAACUUGAAUAAGGAUAAACACCAGUGUUACUCCGGCCUGAUAAAAGGAUCCUCCCCGAGCGGAUAUCCUGAACACGGAAGAAAUUAGGAUGAAGGACAAAGAAACAGUCAUUGUCAGAAGAGAAUUGAUUGAUAGAUAAUAUAUUUUGAGAGGCAUCAGGGCAAUAUAAAGUAUUUUUAAGAGUAUAGGAGCUAGUAGGAGAGUAAAUAAAAGAGGUGCCUAUGUGGGAAAUGUGCAAACCUUGAGCACCAUUAACACCACCGACUUGAUCUAUGCCUGUGUACUCCUGUGCAUUUGUAAGUUGUCCAGGAUCAUUAGUAAUAUGUGUGUUCGCUCCAGAGUCCAGAAGCCAUGUUGUGAGAGCAUGAGAUGCAGACUGGGGUACACGGGUUGACUGUGCAGCAAGAGCUGUGAGACGAGCACUUGGAACACGACCUUCAUAAGAAGUAUUCAUACGGUUGUAACAGUCAAUGGCAGAGUGACCAUUACGACGACAAAUCUGACAGCGAAGUGGUGGACGAUCAGACGAAGAGGGACCUGCACCAAGGAUACCGCCAUGGGGACGUCCUGGAUUAGGAGCAGCAGCAACAUGUGGGCGAGCCUGAUUGCCACUACGAGGAUGGACAGCACCACGGCCUCCACCAAGGGCAAAGCCUGCAUGAGCAGUCUGCCGACGUCCACGAUUAGCAACAUGGCAGUCAAGACAGGAGUGUCUCCAGACAAAUUGAAGGUAAGGUGACGAGCUUCAGCACUGAGCAGCAGUGCUUCCAAAGCAGCAUACGAAAUAGGAUUUUCUCGGGCUUGAAUGGAGGCGACUGUGUUCUCAUACAGUGGUCCAACAUUAUUCAUGAUCGUGGCAAUUAAGUCCGAGUCAGCAAUGGGAGAACCAGAUAAGGCUAACUGAUCAGCCAAGGUGUUGAGUUUGUCCAAAUAAUCGGCAAUACUGAGAUCACCACGCCGGAGAUUGAGAAGUUCCCCGCGGAGUUGAAUAACACGAUUGUGGGAGGAAGGUGCAUAUCGGUCCUGUAAAGCCUUCCAGGCCUCGGCAGCACUAACACAUUUGACGACAACAUGCAUAACAGGAGGAGAGAGAGAACUAGUCAGCCAUGAUAGAACCAUCUGGUCAGUUUGGAUCCAAGGUUCGAAGAGAGGAUUGAUGGUGUCAGUGAGUUGACCAUCAUCAUUCAGUUGAUGAGCAGAAGGGCACUGAGAAGUGCCAUCAACAUAUGGCAUCAAACUGCGACUGCGAAGAAGGGGAACAAACUAGGCACGCCACAAGGGAUAAUUAUGGCGAUCAAGUUUUAGAGGAAGAAAUGCAGAAACAUUAGUGAGGGCAGCGGAAGAAGACAUUGUAUUUGGAAGAGAAAUAUGUCGUAAGAAUUGAAAAAGGGAUGAUACCAUAAAGAAUUGUGCUCAAUUGUUGAGCUUCUUUUCAUUUUCUGUUUAUAUAGAACUUUACAAGUAUAGUUAAUUAGAACUUUACAGGUAUAGUGAAUAUUUCACAUGGAUACACUGCAUCAAUGUUUUUGCAUCUGAGUAUGGGCAGCAUUUGUUUAAUGCAUGCUUGGGCAGCAUUUGUUUAAUGCAUGCGUUGAGUGUAUUGCAGAGUCAUUCACAUGGGCAGCAUUUGUUUAAUGCAUGCGUUGUAUGUAUUGCAGAGUCAUGCAGAGUCAUUCACAACACUUGGUUUAUCACCUACAACUUCAAAUUAAAAUUAAUCCUUAGAAACUCGCAUGCUAAAGAUGAAGAUGCAAGUCAAGAUAAAUUUGUUAUUAGUUAGUUUAAUCAGCAUAGUUAAGUUUGUUAUACUUGUUUGUGAUUAGACAAGUUUGUUGUAGUUUCCUUUGUACAUAGCUAAGUGAUAUAUAUACAGUGGAACUAUGAUUGUUUAGGGCCGGAGUAAGGCUAAUCCGAAUAUCAAUACCUCACAAGUCCGAUCAUGAACUUGACAACUUCGAGCAGAGCUAGAUCAAACAUAGCAUGCCACCAUCAUCCAGUUCCAGGGCAAUAGGUGAAGUCCGAGCAACUCAGUUGGUAUGAUUAUGCUUGUUCCACAAGGCACAAGAUUUGAUUCGGAUAUUGACACAAUCAGAUUCCUCAUAAAUCUUUGAGUUCCUACAAUCUAGGAAUUGGCGUGCGCCGCAAGUAAUUACUACUCCUAAGAGGGCGCAAUAUCUACUUCUAGAUAUCUCUUGGGAUUCUUCCAGUUUAGAACAAGAAUUCUAAUCUAAAAAGCUCUCCUCACAGUAUAAAUACACCCAUCUAGUGCUCGUCUUUGGUAACACAAUCUUAGUACUCUAUUCUCUUGCCCACUGUUUGAGCCUAAAAUUGCUUACUAACUUGACUGUUGGACAGCCUUGGCCGACAUACCCCACCCUGGUCCUAGGCUUGCUCACGGUUGUUCUCAAUUUUGCAGAUUGCUCGAAUUUGUGUCUCCAUUAUUUGGAACAAUCUGCAUAUAUAUUUUUUCCAACAACUAGCGCUUUUAUUGAGAAUGAAUUCAUAUUCCUCUCGACAAAAUCACUCUACCCCAAUGGAGAUUCCCCCCAAAUCAUAUCGCGAUGAACUACAUGCUCUAACGCACAACAUUAACCCCGAGAUCGACGGAGUUACCACCAUGUACGAGAUAUAGAAAUAUGUGAUGCAUAUUUAUCUAUCCUUGGAGGACCUUCGACGGAGCCCCUCUCGCCAAAGAACCUAUAAGACUCAUCGAUUUGAAGGCGCGAAUUAAAGACCUGGAAGAGGCCAUCUCGCGCUUUAAAGAAGUGUCAGUCCAGACAAUGGAAAUCGUUGAUCUGACUCUCGAGGCGUCACCCCAACGUCCUUCACCGAAGACGUACCAUAAAAAAUCUAGGAGGCUACAAUGCCUACAUCCCAUCCAACGAUUGGACAAAGAACCAUUCCCUAGAGUGAAUUACAUAUACAGCGAGCAAGAAUGUCUGGAAACACUAGGAAAGAAAGCAGCAUUUGACAAAUUUCUUGUCUAAUAUGAUUUUACGGUAAAGAGACAUGUAAUGCGGCCUAUAGAUAUUGCAAAAUUUCUGAAAAAAAAAUAUUGAGUACAUAAAAGUGUGAAAUUUUUAAAGAUUCAAAAAUUCAAAAAAUUAAGUUAUGAUAUAGCAACUCUGUUGAUUUUUGUAUUUCUAUAUGGUUUUGUAUGUGUUAUUUCUAGAAAAAUGAAGAACAGAAGAAAACAAUGAAAAUUUGAAAAUGGAGAGUAUGGUGCUCUCUUGUAUUUCUCGGUGGAUUCGAUUACAGAAGCAUUCAUUCACACACACAUACAUAAGCUAUGAUGAGGUGAAUAGGGACAAAAAUAACCGUUCGAGUGUGCACGCUUUGCUCGUGUAAGCAAGCUCACGUGUACUACACGGGAUCAAUUUAAAACACCACUAAUCGGGACAGGUGGCACACUCUGCACCAUUUAGAUGUUUUAAUCAUAACCGUUUAUUACACUAGGAUUAUAAACUCCAACAUUCAAAUUAAAACUCAGCCAUAUCAAUUUGAACUGCACUAUGUUGCAAUCCAGCAACCUUGAUUCACAGCAACAUCCUUAUACUGCAACAAGAUCUGUCCAAUUUUGACAAAAAAAAUGACAAUUUCAUCGACUGUCAUUGGAAAAUCUGUUUUACUUAUUAAAUAUGGAUACGAGAAAGACAAUAAAUUAUUCUAGUUCCUAACAACUUUCUCGACUAUAUUAACACAUAAAAAUGAAAUAUUAUGUAUUAAAACUUGUAAUCGGGUAAUACAUUCAAAACUAGAACUAAGAGAAACUAAAAGAGAGAGAGUAUCUACAUGAUAGUUUCUCGUUAUUAUUAUUAUUAUUAUUAUUAUUAUAGUCAUGAGGCUACUUGUACACAAACUGAAUCCACAGAAUAUCUCAGGCUUGAGGGACAAGCAUUUCCCUAACGCGUUUCAUAUGGGCAACCAAUUUUUGGUAGUCAGGAAGGUUGUCUCUGAUGACAGGAACUUGCUUGAAAUUCUGAACCCAUGCAUGCAAUCGAGGCAAAGUGCUUGGCUCAAGCAAUUUGACACCCACCAUUUCUUCAAUGGCUUCGAACCAAAGAGCCAGCCAUCCAUGCGUUAUGUCUACC
This 66440-nucleotide long non-coding RNA is filed under the name Malus domestica (apple). RNAcentral describes it as "long non-coding RNA (MDOM_LNC016608)". Lineage: Eukaryota; Viridiplantae; Streptophyta; Magnoliopsida; Rosales; Rosaceae. The record is from RNAcentral.